AACGGGGUCCGAGUUUGGCAAGCCAAUUGAACGAGAGACCAAGUUCAGUCUAUCCUGGCGUUCUUCGUGCAAAAUGAAACUGAAUCAAAAAAAGUGAUUCCUCCAAAAGUGCUUCCAUGACGCGUUAUUCUCUUCUCAUCGGCGUCCAUUCAUCAUCAACCUUGAAUCCAUGGUGUUUCGACACAAACAGCAAGAAGAGAUUGAAUCCAAUAGCAAUUUGUCUGUCUCGGCCUUGCGUUCUUCAACCGUGCUUCCGAUAUUCGUGAUUCACGUUGUUCAAACACUAAUCCGGUGAUUUCAAUGUUCGAAGAAUCACAGUUCAAAUCUCUUUAUUAUCGUCGACAUAAACGGAAGAAAGAAGGAAAGGUGUCAAAUGCAACUCGAAAAACUCACUGAAUCUAGCAGGUAUCGAGUAUGAACUUUUUUCCCGCUUCGGUUUUGGAUUGCUUCUUCUUCUCCCUCUACACAACUGUUGCGCAUCUUCUUGCAUCCUGCGUGAUCGAUUUGUUGUUGAAUCUCCUUCUGCUAUGAGUGUUUGAUGAAUCGCUUUUGGUGGAUUCGUUGUGGAUGGGUUGAUGAAGAGUGAAGAGUAUUGGUGAAAAAAAUGGAACUCGCGAGAGCUUUUGAGUGGAGAAGAUGAUGGAUGAUUUAUAGGGAUUGAAGCUUUAGCAGAGUUAGGAUUCUGUUAGCAUCACUAGGCUCAAGUUGGUUAGAGGUUCUAAUGUCGUUAGUUGAUCCGUUAAAUCUGGUUAGCUUUUAGUGCAGUUAAAGUAUGAAUUUGAAGUGAAGUUGAACUUUGAAAUGCAAGUCACAUUUUCAAUUCUGUUUGCUGCGUUUUUGCUUAUGUCGUUUUCUACUUUUCAUUGUCGUUUGGAUACGCUUAUACGUCAUUUACUAUUGUGUUUAGCUGAGUUAUGGUCGUUGUUUUGAACGUGUUUGGUACUGCAGCACUUCUGUCAUUGCAACGCGAUUUUCUGUUGUGUUUGAUUGUAUUGGUUUUUACUGCGUUCCCGCUGCGUUUUAAUUGUUUGAUGCCGCCGUUCAUGCUGUUGAGUUUUAUAGUUGCAGCUUCUGUUUUAGCUCGAUUGGCGCACGUGGCUUAUGCAGCUCUCGUUUUCGUCGUCUUGGCUUUAACUGGAAAUCGCAGCUCGUGUUUUGGUUCAUGGUUCUGGAGUUGCUGUUGCAUUUUGAAUUUCAUCUUGCAUCUUCAUUUUGGUGUUGUUGGUUAUGGCUCGCAUUUGGAAGCUGAAUUUUCCGUUUUGCUUUGUCGUUUAUGCUUGUACGCUUCCAUGUUGUUGCUGAUGUAGUACUUGCUGCAGGAUGCCAACAUGGAUAAUUGAUAUGUUCCCAAAGUGGAUAAUGACUUUGGAAAUGGUUAAUUAUGGAUAAUGGAUUUAGAACUGGUUUUAAAUGGAUAUUGGACUUGGAUGGGUUUUAAAUGGAUAAAGGAUUUGGAAAUGGUUAAUUAUGAAAUUAGUUGGUUAAUUUGGUUAAUUGGAUUAAAUGGAUUUGGAUUGGAUGUUAAAAUGGAUAUCAAUUAAUUGGAUUUUCGGAUUUGGAGUUAUGAAUAAAAAUGGAUUUGGAUUGGCUUAUGAAUUAACAUGGCCCAUUAGUGAAAUUAAAAGAAAAUUCUAAUAACUAAAAUAAAAUGUCAAGAUUAACUUGUGACUAAAACAAUGUUUUCUAAAAUAAUUGGCUAAAGAAACAAUGAUGAGAUAUUUUCCCAACAUCAAACUAAAAUCUCCAAAGUCGACUUGAAUCUUAAGAACCAAAUUUUGAAUUAAAUCAAAUUUGAACCUUUAAAAUCCAUUCACAACUUCUAGAAUUAAUUCGAAACCGUUGAAAUGAUUGUGGACCAUGUGAUUAAGGAUUUAGAGGUUGACGAUUGACUUUGGUCAACUGGUUGACCAAAAAGUCAAUAGUUGAUCAAAAGUCAACCCAGGUAAAAACAUAUAUUUUCUAAUAAAAAAACGAAUAUGGUCUAGAACAUUCUGAACCAACGACUUAUGUAAAUGCCAUGAAUCAAACCAGGUGAAUGUCCACCAAACAACAGGUCAUGCACAAGAUCCUUGACUAGCAAGGUCAUGAACUAGGAUUUCAACCCGUAUGAUGUGAAAUGCCAUAAACUUCAAUCCAACUCCAAUUUUAUCUACUAUAAACCCUGAAUCCAUGAUACAUGUCAGCUGAUGUUAAUCAUGAAUGAAUGAAUGCACAUAAAUGAGCAUGAAUGAAGUUAGAUGGUUAUCAAGUUAUAGUCAGAUGAAAAAGCGAAAAGGAGGGAAAAUUUUGGGAUAUGACAGUUGCCCCUGUUUAAUCUCCUCGGACCUGAAGGUAUGAAUAGCAACCGUUUUUAAACCUUCAUGGUAAGAGAGGAUUAAAUACCCAAAAUAAUCGAGAAAUUUGCCCGCAGGAAAUGAAUGAAAUGAAUGAGAUGUAGGGUAAAUGGUAUUGAUGGAAAGAUGCUCAGUGAGAUGUUUUAUUAAGUUAUGCAUGCUAUAUGUAAAAUGCUAUGUAUGUUGAUCUCUUUUUUGUGUCUUUCUUUGUAUUUAUCAUUCUUUUCUUUUUCUUUUCUCUUUUUCUUGCCUCCACUAACGAGUUUUGGCUUGAAAUCGAUAAUCGAUGUAUUCCCGCAAGAUUCCGUGAAGGUAAAAAGAACCACGUGUUUGCAAAAGGCAAGUACCAACUGAUAAGAACUGAACUGGGGUCUUCUGCAAAAGGCAGUCAACUCAACUGAAAAACAAACUUCUCGUACAAUAGGUAGCAACGACUCCUUAGCAAGAGAGUCAGAAGUUUCCUUGAUGCAGUUAAGAAAAAAGGCAGACAGACUUUCUCACACAAAAGGUGAUGAGGAUUCCUCGAUGAAAGGAUAAGAAGGAGAGUUGAGGUCCACACAAACGAGUGAGGGAUACCAAAACAAACGAGUAUCAAGAGUGGUUUAACAACACGGAUGAGCGUUGAGAUUAACACAAACGAGUAUCGGAAAAAGGAUAAGACAGGCGAGUGUUGGAGAUCUAGACACAGACGAGUAGCAUAGAUCAACACAGACGAGCGUUAAGGAUCAAAAUAGACGAGUAUGAAAAAGAAGGCAUCAACAUGGACGGGUGUUAAGAUCAAUACGGACGAGUAUUGAAGAGAGAAGGCCAACGCGGAUGAGUGUCAAAAGAUGGUGACUUCACUAGGGAUCAAUACCAACGAGUACUGAAAAAGAAGACCAACACGGACGAGUGUUGAAGGUCAAUACGGAAGGGUAUCGAAAAAGGACCAACACGGACAAGUGUUGAUGCCUAACACGGACGAGUAUUGCACAUCAAUACGGGCGAGUAUUAAAAAUCAAUAUGGACAAGUAUUGGAAGAAGUAAUGAUUAACACAGACGAGUGUCGGGGAUGACGUCCUCCCCAGGGAUCAAUGCGAACGAGCAUUGAAAGCAUACAGGAGGGACCUCCCAGGAAAACGGCAGGGGACCACUUACGAAAGGUAAGUGAUUGGUCAAAGACUCCCAGGGUAUCUAUAAAAGGCAACACAAAGGAGAUAUUUCAAAAAACCUGCAGGGAAUACCAUUCCAAGGUUUCAUGAUAGCGUUCUCACUGGGGAGGAAGAAUGUCUUAACGGAAGAUUCUUGUAUGAUUUCGUGAAAGGCUUUCAUGUAGUUAUGCAUGUUUAUUUGGCGUAAUGCUCCAUCUCGAGGGAAUACGAUACGCGCUUAACUAUACAAUGUUAUGUAAUGAAUGAUUAUUUAUGCGAGAUGUUGAUGCAGUUUAUGCAAUGGUCGGGAUGUAUUUGAGUAUACCAAGUGUGGUUGGGCUUUUGGUAAGGCUUUUGUGGGGCUCUGACUUCAAAGGUUUAUGAAAUAACAAUUGUCCUUGUCAAAGGGUUGACUGAAAAGGAAGGUCGUCAUCAAAGGGUUGAUGAGACAACAAUUGUCAUCGCCAAAGGGUAGACGAAUAAGAACCUCGUCAAAGGGUUGACGCAAAAGGAAUGUCUUCAUAAAAGGGUUGAUGAAAAGGGGUGUUUAAGUAAUAUCAUCAUCAAAGGGUUGAUGGCGUCAUCAAAGGGUUGAUGAAAGGACUGUCGUCAUCAUAGAGUUGAUGGGACCACAACUGUUAUCGUCAAAGGGUUGACGCAAAAGGAAUAUCGUCAUCAAAAAGCUGAUGGGAAGAUAAUUUGGCAUUGUCUAAGGGUUGACGAAAGGGGAUACCUCCAUCAAAGGGUUGAUCGAGAGUGGAAUGUCAUCAUCAAAGAGUUGAUGGAAAAGGUGCUUAGGUAAUAUCAUCAUCAAAGGGUUGAUGACAUCAUCAAAGGGUUGAUGACAUCAUCAAAGGGUUGAUGGAGGAUAGUCACCAUCAAAGGGUUGAUGGAAAAUGCUUGAUUUUGUAUGCAUAUGAUGCAAUCUUCUCGUCUCGGUGAGAGAGCUUUUUUUGAUAUGGAACUUCCUACCUCGAAAAGAAAAUCAUGCAUGUAUGUUGUAUGCAAUGCAUUUGGAAAUGCGAGCUGGUGAUUAGUUUUUUUAUUGGUCUCCCUUUUCUGAGGGUGAGAUCUUUUGGGUACCAAUAUGGAUUGGAUUUGAAUUUAUGAUGAUGCCAGCAAAGUGGGAUUUGGUUUUUUGGUAGUUGCCAAUAGGGAUUAGACUUGUGGUUUAGGAAAGGAUUUGACUUCCCGACACUCGAUGUUUGAAUAUGUUAUGAUUAGAGGAUAGAUGUGGAUGCUCUUGGUGCCCCAAGUUUGAUCCUCGGUUGAAGUUGUGUCUUUGUUCCCAAGAGAACUUCCACUUCUCUGCCUGAUAUAUCAUGACAACUUGCAAAUGGUUUCACGAGCAUAGCAACGUAAUCAAUGCAAAAUGAUCAUGCUCUUGCUCUGCCCCAGUUUGUGAAUCUGCAGUGGUCUACCUUUGCCUAAGCUCUUGAAGGAAUUGCCCCUGAUUAACUAAGUAUUGAUGACUUAUCUCCCUAAUCCAUGAUGCUUGGAGAUUUGUUUCAGACUAUCCAACUCUUAGGUCAACACAGUCAUUGGAUGCCAUGCCCCUUAUCCAUUGGGUUGUGAGGUAGUCUUGACUCGGGAUAGCCUCGGUCUCGACAAACGUUCAAGCUCUUUUCUGACUGAUCUUUGGAAUCUCCUAGAUGUCAAGUAUUGACUUGCAGUUAAAAUUGUUCAUUUAACAAUGAUAAUUUUAAUAUGACAUUCAUGCAAGUUAUUUUUUAAGAAUCCUUUAUUUGAGAUGAUUUUGUGACAAGUGACGAAUGGACCAUUAGUCCAAAUGUAAUGUUGGUUUGGAUAACAUGAAAGAUACAUUGAAAACAUGAUAUCAACACAAAAGAUUAGCAAAAUAUCUAGGAGUCGGUUUACACAACCUUGCUGCAGUAAGCUUUUCAGAAUAAACCCUGCUUCAAUUAGGUCUUUUGAGGGUUGUAACGUGGUCUGGUUCACGGUUAUCGAAACAAAGGAUAUAAAGCUCAAAUUCGAUUUUAACCCACCCCUUCUUCUUGAUGUUCUCCAGUCCUACGUUCAGCUAAUUCACCAUAUGCAUUCGUCCUCCAAGAGAAUUUGACGUUGUAAGAAUGAAGGUGAUGAUUCAAGAUUCGCUUGAGAUGGCAGUCACUUUAUUUUCCAUGGAUGUCAGUGACCUUUGGAUUCCUGAUAUGAUGGUUACCUUAUUUUUCUUUGCCUUGAUUGAGGAUUUAACGACCUUUCUUUGAUUCUUUCUUUUUGUUUCUCCCUAAUUUUUUCCUGGACUAUUCUUUCGAAAUUUUUGGUCCACCGGGAUUACCCUAAUUUUUGCCUAAGUCACACCUUUGGGGGUCCGACUUAACGGGUUUUUUCUUUUUUCCUUUUUUUCAAUUAUUCUAAGGGUUGUGACUAACAAGUCAUUGGUUGUUGAAGAACCACCAUCAUAGCUUUUGGAAUUUUCAUGGUUCUUUAGACACUUCUAGGUGUGUGCGAAAAACAUCAUGUGGUUGAUCUCUAGACGAGAUAUUUUGUCUUGUAAUCUGAAUGCAUAGUCGAAUCAACUGAACACUACCAUUCCCCUGGUUAAGCCUAAGGGUUUUUAGAUCCGAAAGAAACACCUACUUCUAGGCUCAAAGUGGUUAACUAGGGAUUAAUUCCUUAUCUCUCCAAUGUUUGGGGAUUUGAAACAAUGCUUGUACAUCAUCAGCAAGGCUUCAUCCGAAAGCAUACAAUCAAGCAAUUAUUUGUAUCUUGUUUUCGUUAUCCUCCUUCCAAUAUUUGCUAAAACAAUAGUUUAAUAAAGCAAAUGGAAAGCUAUUUUUGUGAUUUUUGAAGAUAAAUGGGAAAAGAAGAUUGAAUACGAAUGGAUUCGUUCAAAACAUGCAUGCACAAUUAAUACCACAAUUUAUAAACAAUAAUGUUUAAAAGAAAGUAGCACUUAACAAUAAAGAAACUGUAAAUGCUAAGUAAUGAUGUGAUCUAAGGAUUGUCAGUGUUGGGGAACUGGGCUUUCCUCUUUCGCUUUGUUGUCGGGCUAGUCUUCUUCAUAGUUGCUCGUCGAGACCAAUACGAGGAAUAACAUGCACUGAUGGACCCUCAUGACCAGGUGAAUGAUUAUUGUUGAUUUGAAGACCUCGAGGCACAAAUGAGAACAUCUUGGAGUCGAGCAAUUUUCGUACCUGGCUUUUCAUCACUUUACAGUCUUCAGUUGAAUACCCAUGUGCCCUAGCAUGGAAGUCACAUCAGGCAUUGACGUCGAAGCCUGGUGGGUCUGGAGGAAUCACUGAAUGCAAUUCCUUUGGCACUAUCAAUCCAUCUUUAAUCAAAUACGGUAGUACUUGACUGUACGAUAUUGGAAGUAGAUCAAAAUGCCUUACUGGCUUUCUCAGUCUUUGUCGAGUGUAUUGGCAUUGUUGAUCUGGAGUUUGUCAUUGAUACCAAGGGGAUAUUCGGUCUUCACGAGGGGAUUGACCUUGUGGAGGGAGUGGCGUCUGAUAUGGAGCCGGUGAAGCUUCCCAGAUUGCAUUGAUUUCCAUCUCCUCCCGUUCUUGGGAACUGACAAGGGAUUCACUCUCACUAGCCUGGAUGUUCGAGACGUCUUGGAUCUUUCCACUUUUGAGCAUGCUCUCGAUGUGUAUUCCAACUAACACCAAGUGAGAAAAAUCAGGUGAAGUAUUUCCUAUCAUCCUUUCGUAGUACGGACCUUGCAAGGUAUCCAUGAAUAAGUCAACCAAUUUUUUCUCUAGAAGUGGUGGUUGAACUUGAGCAGCUAAUUCUCUCCAUCUUUGGGCAUAUCCUCUGAAGGAUUCAUUGCUUUCCUGAGAUAAACCUUGCAACUACAUACGGCUGAGAGCCAUGUCCAAAUUGUAUCUGUAUUGCAUCAAAGAGGCGUUAGCCAGGUCUAACCAUGAUUGGAUGUGGCACUUUUCUAGCUGCAUGUACCAACUCAAUGAUGCCCCGCUCAAGCUGUCCUGAAAAUAGUGAAUCAUUAGCUUAUCAUUGUGAGCAUAUGAAGUCAUUUUUCUGCAAAACAACACCAAAUGUUGCUUUGGACAGCUAUCCCCUUUGUACUUUUUGAAAUCCGGUGUCUUGAACUUUGGAGGCAUUAUCAGGCCAUGCACUAAACACAUGUCAGAAGCAUUCAGACCGAAAGCAUCAUGCCCCUCUAUGGCUUUAAGCUUCUCUUCUAACACCUGAAAUCCUUCAGCAACUGCCAUAUCUCGUGGAUCCUUGGUUUUAGUUACUGGGACUGCCCCUUGGGAAUUUUGUGCAGAGAAUGCAAAACUAUGAUACUCAAUAGCAUCGCAAGAGGAGUUUCCAUCUCGGACAAUGGGUCGCUCUUGUAUAACCUGGUCCUCGGCAAGGAUCUGCACAGGCUGAGUCUGAGCAAGAUUGUUUACUUGAGGCGGACUGACAUUCUCAGUGGCUACAGUCUGUUGAAUGUUUUCAUCUCUCCUUGCUAAGGCUGUCAUAGCUUCCACAAGUUGGUCCAACUGAUUCUUUAUCAAAUCAACAUCCGUUUUUGACGCAAACUGGUUUGGCUCCAUGAUCUUUCAAAUCCAAUACGAGUAUCAGGAAAUCAACUGCGGAUUAUGGAAAAAGGAUGGAUGAGCUUCGUUUUGUUAUAGUUUGGAAGAUGAUAUGCAAAAAUGAUACGUGGAUGCAUACGGAUUUUUUGUUUUGAUGUAUGAAUGAAUGAACGGACGACAUUCAGGCACAUGGAUUCAAAUGUUCGAGGUACGGAUGGAGGAUAACACUGAUUGCUUUCCACAUCAGAGAUCUCACUAGGUACGAUCUAGGGUUUUUAGAUAGGGACCCUAGAGUCAUCAAUUCAUUUGGCUAUUUGGCGCUUAUGGCAAAAGCUUGUCGGUCUUCAACUCCCUCUAAUGAACCUCUUUUGGGUGAGAUCUUCGUACCGACCCAUGCGAGAAAAGCUUCUCGGGGACCCGUACUACGUGACCGUCAAUCUUAAUUGGUCGAAGGUUCGAUGUUCUGUAAAGGUCCUUAGAGUCAUUGACCCUAAUAAAGACAUCGAUCGCUUACACUAAAAGCUUGACGGUCGUCAACGUUCUCCAAAAUAAUCUACUCUAAGCGAGGUUAUCGUAUCGACCCUUACGAGAAAAGCUUCUCGGUGGCCCAUACUACUCAACCUCUCAUAUCUCAAGUUUCCACUCUAGACUCGGGUAAAGAGUCUUUCCCACAAGGUUUCUUGCAAUCAAAGUAGUAUCCAUCAAUACCAUAAAAUCAUGGAACCAUGUAACAGAUAUUACAGAAUUUAAAGCGAAAGGCAAUAAAUAAGGCAAACAACCAAAAGGAUAAUCAUCCACGCACGCGAGGAAGCAACCUAGAUUUGGCUUCACUUGCUUAUCGAAAAAUACAGAGUCGCCAUCGGUUUUAAUUUAUUCCAAAGGAAAGGGAAAAUAUCGAGAAAACCCCUAAAGAAUGGUCGUCGCAACCACGAACAGGUUCGGAAUUCAGUUAUGCAAGGGGAAGGUAUUAGCACCCCUUGUAGGAGAAUUGCUAUCCAAGGCACAGCGGAAUUUAAAAAUUUCUCCAUUUAGUGAUCCUUACGAAUGAGCAUGAUCAGUGAUAGAAUCGUUACCUCUUGUGGCGAUUCAAACCUUUGGUGUAGAUCUCUGAUAAUGAUCAAAACCUUUGAUACAGAUCCACGGGGCGAUCACGAACGUUGAAUGAUGACAACGUCUCUACUCAGUCCACACGAACGGAUUCCUUCAAUCGCAGUGCAGUUGUUAUGAAUGAGGCUUUGAGUGAAAGAAAGAGGGAAACAAAAUUCCAAGUCUCUACUUGAAUUUCUGUCUGAGUGGAUUGGAGUAACAAUGCUUCUACCCAAGGGGUUCUAUUUAUAGAACCACUUGUGUGGGCUUCAAGCUAAAAAGCCCACUUAAGUGUAUUUUGGCCAUAUCUUAUAUAUGCCCAAAAUCACUUAAGUAUUUGGUACCUUACCAUAUUUCGUCUCCCACUUAAGUGCACCGUACCUUACGGUGUUCCUUAGUCUCUAUCUCUCAUCAAUCCGUCCUUUGGUGUGACCCUAUAGGUUUUCGCGGCGUUGGCAAUUAAAUUAAAUCACGCAUUUAACAUAAUAAACAGUGAGCGGUAUCUAGCAACACAUCACUGCUACCCAAGUCACGAAAAUGUCAUGUGAUCUGACAAAACCUCAUGUGAUAAUAAUUAUGUGUAUAAUUACCCCUUUGCCCUUAUGUCUAUAUUGAACACAAGGUAUGAACGUGUCACCUUGUCCAGUUAAUAUUGGGCCCAUAGACAUUUAUCCUGUUACGCAGGAUUGGCAAAUUCCAUCAUGGACACUCAUGUCCCUCAGCAUGCUUCGUGGAGUACUCAUCAACUGUCUUUUAUGGUCAUCCAGUUACGGAUAACGUUGGAUCAGCAAUAAAGCACUCAACUCUACAUCUAGGAUCCAUAGUGGUUUCAGGUCGAAGAGUGGUAUACACUAUUAUCACCAUGAGAAAUACUUAUGACACUUUGCAUAACUUUCUAUAUAGUAUCUCAUAGCGGGUCAAUCCGGUAUAAAUAUUACUCCUAAUAAUCAUACCUAUGUUUAAGACUUGAUAACUCUUUAUCCAUGAUCCAUGAGAUGUGAUCAUCAGUCUACAAACAUAAUAGUCUUAAUGCUUUAAUGUUAUCCCACUUCACAUUAAAGCUCGACUACGAUACUUUAAGAAUAGUGCCUUAUGUUUAAUGUGUUCUCAUGAUUAAGUCACACUUAAUACAUUAAACGGACUAUCUAUUCUAGGGACUUUAUUAAUCAAACAUAAUAAAGAAAAUGCCUUUUAUUAUUAAUAAAUAAUUCGAUACAAGUACCAAAAGUAUUGGCCUCUAGGGCUUACACCAACAAUCUCCACACUAGCACUAGAGCCAAUCAGACAUACCUCGUAUGCCAUUGAUCUAGUAUGGCCAUCAUGCUUCUGCUGCGCAGAGGCUUUGUCAGUGGGUCAGCUAUAUUGUCUAGUGUAGGUACUUUAUAUAUUUUCACACAACGCCUAAGUAUGUGUUUGGAUCGUUGGUGAGAUCUAGGCUCUUAGCUUGUGCGAUAACACAUUGUUAUCAUAAUAGAGACCAAUGGGAUCCACAAUGCUAGGGACAAUGCCAAGUUUAUUUAUCCAAACAGCUUCCUUUGUUGCACUUAAGGCAGCAAUAUGCCGGCCUCGUUGUAGAAUCAGCAACUGCAUCUUGCGUUGAACUUUUCAAGCUCACAGUUCCACCAUUUAGCAAAACACAUAACCAGAUUGGAAUCAUUCAUAUUAAAGCGUCUCAGCACUUUGUCUAUGUAUGUACUCUGACUUAGGCCAAGCAGUUUUGUGAUCUAUCUCUAUAGAUUCUGAUUCCUAAUAUAUAGGCUGCUUCACCUAGGUCCUUCAUAGAAAAGUAUUUCCCCAACCAAGACUUUACUUGUGCAGGGUAGGGAUAUCGAUUCCAAUAUUAAUAUGUCAUUUACAUAUAAUACCAGGAAUAUGAUCAUGCUCCCACUAACCUUCUUGUAGACACAAGUCUCAUCUUCGUUCUUGAUGAAUCCAUACAAUUUUACUGUUUCAUCAAAACGAAGAUUCCAUGAGUAGGUCACAGGCUCAUCUUGAUCCAUGAGUAAUACAUCACCUUGAUCAGAUAUCCAUAUAUCUCAGGUAGGUGACGUAUCCUGCCUGACCUACGCUGGUCUUGUUCUAUUUGAGCAGGUUGCUCUUACACAACUACUUGGUUUCCUGCUCUAAUUCCUCCAUAGGUGUAUCGAUUACUUUGUGAUUCUUGAAUUUCUUCAAGUUCUACUUCCUCCCACUGAUUCCUUUGGAAUAAAAAUCCCUUUCUAGGAAAACUUAAGUUCGAGCGACAAACACUUUGCCUCAGAAGCAUUGUAGAAAUAAUAUCCUCUGUUUCUUUAGGAUACCCACAAAUAAGCAUUUGUCAGAUUUGGGCUCAGCUUAGUUGAAAUUUGUCGUUUCACAUAAACUUCGCAACCCAAAUCUUCAUGUAAGACAUAUGUGGUCUCUUACCACUCCAUAUCUCAUAUGGUGUCUUAUCAACCUUUUUGAUGGAACACGGUUAAGUGUGUAAGCUGCGGUGAACAGCGCAUUGUCCCCAAAAGGAGUUUGGAAGAUCGGCUUGACUCAUCAUGGAUCGGACCAUGUCCAACAGGGUUCGAUUUCUUCUCUCGACAUACCAUUCCAUUGGGGUGUUCACAGGAGGAGUGAGUUGGAAUAGGAUCCCACACUCUUUCAGAUGGUCAUCAAACUCUAGGCUUAAAUAUCACCACCUUGAUCUGAUCGAAGAGCUUUAAUAUUCUUACCUAGUUGGUUUUGUACUUCAUUCUUGAAUUCUUUGAAACUUUUCAAAGGACUCUGAUUUGUGUUUCAUUAAAUACACAUAACCAUAUCUACUGAAAUCAUCAGUGAAUGUGAUGAAGUACUGAAAACCUCCUCUGGCUGAUAUGUUCAGUGGACCACAUACAUCAGUAUGUAUGAGGGCCAAAAGAAUCAUUUGCUCUUUCACCUUAUCCUGUGAAUGGAGACUUUGUCAUCUUCAAUUAAACAAGAAUUUGCAUGUCUCAUAUGAUUCAUAAUCAAAAGAGUCACAGUCCAUCUUUAUGGAGUUUGGAAAUGCGUUUCUCAUUUAUGUGGCCUAACGACAAUGCCAAAGGUAAGUUGGAUUUAACUCAUUAUGUUUCAUCCUUUUAGUAUUAAUGUUAUAAAUAGGCAUUUUCAAGAUCAAUGACAUGUAGUCCAUUGUUCAUUGUGUGCAGUUGCAUAAGAAAUAUAUCAUUCAAAUAAAUUGAACAACAAUUGUUCUUUAUUAUGAAUGAAAAACCGAACUUGUCCAAACAAGAAAAGGAAAUAUAUUCCUGCUAAUUGCUGGUACAUAAUAACAGUUCUCUAACUAAAUUAUUAAACCACUAGGUAAAGUCAAUUCAUAAGUCCUACGGCAAGGCAGCAACCUUGCUCCAUUACCACUCGUAGGUCGACUUCACCUUUUGCCAAUUUUACAUCCUUUUUAGUUCUUGCACAUUUGUACAAAUGUGAGAACCGAUCCAGUAUCUAAUACCCAUGAUGCAGAAGUAGAUAAAUUAAUUUCAAUAACAAAAAUACCUGAAGUUGGAGUCUCUACUCCAUUCUUUCCUAUCUUCAGGAGUAACUUUAGGCAGUUCCUCUUCCAGUGUGCGGUCUUACCGCAAUGGAAGCAGGUGCCUUCCUUUUAUAUGCUUACACUAGGCUUCAAAGACAGCACUAGUGGGUUUUGGGUUUGGCAACUUCCUUGCCUUUCCCUUUAUCAUGUUGAGGACAAUCCCAUGUCUCGGUAACACCAGAAAAUUUGUCCUAGACAAUUUUUCCUUGUCAAGGUUUGAUCGCAAUAUGUUGUAAAGGUGUUUGUUGUUCAUGGUAAUCUACACAAGGAUUAAUGAAAAUAUAAGUAAUCAUUGACAUAUUUAUUAGGCCUUUAAUUAAAUAUGAUCCCAACUAUUUUACUCAAAACAAAUGACCUCAUCUAUUUGAUUCGGAAAAUCCCGUGGAAAGAUUUUCUAGUGGAUUGAGAUCCAUAUUUCACUUCGUUCUAAAGUCCGCGUAGGCGGAUUACACAAACUAGUUUUUUAGGUAGAGAACUCUCCAUGUAUCUCAUACAACUCUGCGAAAAUUUCAGUUGGGUGAAUAACUCCUUAUUCCAAUCCAUCAUAUGGAUCAUUCCACUCUUGCUUCUAAACAUAUAUAUAAUCUUAUUAAUUUGUUUAGUUUAAGUUUGACCCAUUGUUUUAACAGUUGGAUAUUAAAAUUAUCCCAUCGCACCUUACUAAUAUAUAGAUCAUGCACCUCGCGUAGGCAAAACCUACAUUAUCCAUUACUAGUCUUGAUGAGUGUUAAAACUUGGAAAGCAUAAACUUAAUAUUUAAUUUGAGGGAAUUGCAAUUUUUCUUGAUCUCACCGACUUGUUUAUCAUAAAACCGUCUCCACAUGCAUCAACAUACAUUCACAUGCAUCAAUAUACAUACAUACAUAAUGAAAACAGUUAUGGCCACCAAGCGCUCAAUUGUUUCUCACCAGCCAAUGAGAGAACCUAAAGCUAACCUACAACGAUCUAAGCUUCUCCAAGCAAGAUCUUCAAAGGUGUUCUCCUUUGCACUGACUUGCUUUCUUGAUAUCAUUAACUUACAUGAAAGAAACUCGUUUACAUACGAGGGAGUGAGAUGAGAAAAGAAGUUAACAUUUGGGAGAAUUAAGAGAGAAGCACGACACGCAGGUCGUAUUUAAAAACCCAAAACAAAACAAAGGAAAACUAAGGCCAUAACCGGAUCACAAACAAGACAAUAAUAAACACUUUAUUAAUUAUUAUUAAUUCCUUUAAUUAAUUAAAAUCAAAUUAAAUUUCGACGACCGAUCAUCACAUUUUAAUGAACAUAUCAUUUAAAAUCGAUGUCGCUUUUCGAUACAACACUUGACACUUUAAAGCACGUGAGUUAAGCCGAAUGGGUGAAAAUUUCCUUGCGUUAACCGGUUAACCAUAUGUGUUAACCGGUUAACACUGUUUGAAAUUAAAAAAAAUGUUUUCUGCCUUGCGUUAACCGGUUAACCAAAUGCGUUAACCGGUUAACACUGUUAAAAACUCAAAAAAAAAAAAUUAUUUCGCCUUGCGUUAACCGGUUAACCAUAUGCGUUAACCGGUUAACACUGUUCCAAAAAGUGUUUAGAAAGCACAACUCUUGUGCAGUCAAACCCCAAUCGCAUAACUCUCUGACAGCACAACCCUUGUGUCGUCACUAACCCUGAUGCACCAAUUUCAGACCUUCAAACACAUCUUGAUUGUUAAUUCAGUAUGAUUGAUCAACACGUCAUUGCUUCACCAUACUAAUGUCGGAUCAAGAAGCAAAUGACCAUUGAUCGCUCAAAGGAAAAUAAUCAUCGAGGGUUUGAAUGAACGAAACGAGAACACUAUAUCAUAUAUAAUGUAUUUUGCAUCAGGAUUACAUAUAUCACAUAUAUGUAACUUGAUAGAUCUCAAUUUAACCUUUGAUUCAUUCUGUCUUUAAUCAUAUUAUUACAGAACAAAAACAGUUAUCAGAUUCAUGGUUUCGUAAGUGGCUCUGAUACCACUGUAGGAGAAUUGCCAUCCAAGGCGCAGCGGAAUUUAAAAAUUUCUCCAUUUAGUGAUCCUUACGAAUGGGCAUGAUCAGUGAUAGAAUCGUUACCUCUUGUGGCGAUUCAAACCUUUGGUGCAGAUCUCUGAUAAUGAUCAAAACCUUUGAUACAGAUCCACGGGGCGAUCACGAACGUUGAACGAUGACAACGUCUCUACUCAGUCCACACGAACGGAUUCCUUCAAUCGCAGUGCUAGCUGUUAUGAAUGAAGGCUUUGAGUGAGAGAAAGAGGGAAACAAAAUUCCAAGUCUCUACUUGAAUUUCUGUCUGAGUGGAUUGCAGUGGAGUGACAAUGCUUCUACCCAAGGGGUUCUAUUUAUAGAACCACUUGUGUGGGCUUCAAGCCAAAAAGCCCACUUAAGUGCAUUUUGGCCCAUAUCUCAUAAUAUGCCAAAAUCACUUAAGUAUUUGGUACCUUACCAUAUUUCGUAUUCUACUUAAGUACACCGUACCUUACGAUGUUCCUUAAUUAUUCUAUCUCUCAUCAAUCCGUCCUUUGUGUGUGACCCUAUAGGUUUUCGCGACGUUGGCAAUUAUAUUAAAUCACGCAUUUAACAUAAUAAACAGUGAGCGGUAUCUAGCAACACAUCACUGCUACCCAAGUCACGAAAAUGUCAUGUGAUCUGACAAAACCUCCUGUGAUAAUAAUUAUGUGUAUAAUUACCCCUUUGCCCUUAUGUCUAUAUUGAACACAAGGUAUAGACCGUGUCACCCUUGUCCAGUUCAAUAUUGGGCCCAUAGACAUUUAUCCUGUUACGCAGGAUGGGCAAAUUCCAUCUAGGACACUCAUGUCCCUCAGCAUGCUUCGUGGAGUACCCAUCAACUGUCUUUAUGGUUAUCCAGUUACGGACAACGUUGGAUCAGCAAUAAAGCACUCGACUCUACAUCUAGGAUCCAUAGUGGUUUCAGGUCGAAGAGUGGUAUACACUAUUAUCACCAUGAGAAUAACUUAUGACACUUUGCAUAACUUUCUAUAUAGUAUUCUCAUAGCGGGUCAAUCCGGUAUAAAUAUUACUCCUAAUAUUCAUACCUAUGUUUAAGACUUGAUAACUCUUUAUCCAUGAUCCAUGAGAUGUGAUCAUCAGUCUACAAACAUAAUAGUCUUAAUGCUUUAAUGUUAUCCCACUUCACACUAAAGCUCGACUACGGAUACUUUAAGAAUAGUGCCCUUAUGUUUAAUGUGUUCUCAUGAUUAAGUCACACUUAAUACAUUAAACGGACUAUCUAUUCUAGGGACUUUAUUAAUCAACCAUAAUAAAGAAAAUGCCUUUUAUUAUUAAUAAAUAAUUCGAUACAAGUACCAAAAGUAUUGGCCUCUAGGGCUUACACCAACACCCCUCACAUCCAUGGUACUCCAUGGGAACCAUAUAGGAUGUUUGUGCUUGAAUGGAUGUUUUUUAUCAAAUGUUUUCUUGCCAAAGGAUUGCGGAGUGGAUAUUCGCCGAUUGUGAGACUCGGUAUUCUAUGCUUGAAAAGACUUGUUGCGCAUUGGCUUGGGAUGCUAAGCAUCUGCGUCAGUAUAUGUUGAAUAAUACCACUUGGUUGAUAUCCAAAAUGGAUCCAAUCAAGUAUAUUUUUGAGAAGCCUACUUUAACUGGGAGGAUUUCCCGUUGGCAGAUGUUGUUAUCAGAAUAUGAUAUUGAAUACUGAUCUCAGAAAGCAAUUAAAGGUAGUAUCUUGGCUGACCAUUUGGCUCACCAACCAAUUGAAGAUUAUCAGUCAGUGCAGUAUGACUUUCCUGAUGAAGAGAUCUUGUACUUGAAAAUGAAAGAUUAUGAUGAACCAUUGCCUUAAGAAGGGCCAGAACCUAGUUCCCGUUGGGGCAUGGUAUUUGAUGGAGUUGUUAAUCAGUAUGGUAAUGGCAUUGGGACAGUGAUUAUUACUCCUCAAUGCACUCAUUUUCUGUUUACAGUUAGAUUGACUUUCAAGUGUACAAAUAAUAUGGCUGAGUAUGAAUCUUGCAUUAUGGGGCUUGAAGAGGCCAUUUAUCUUAGGAUCAAGUAUUUAGACGUCUAUGGAGAUUCAGCUUUGGUUGUGAAUCAGAUCAAAGGUGAAUGGGAGACGAAUCAACCCGGUUUGAUACCAUAUAGAGACUAUGCCAAGAGGAUUUCAACUUUCUUUACAAAGGUUGAAUUUCAUCAUAUCCCUCGAGAUGAAAAUCGGAUGGCAGAUGCUCUUGCAACGUUGGCUUUAAUGAUCAUGGUGAAGUAUUGGAAUGAAGUUCCUAAUCUGACUGUGAUGCAUCUUGAUAGGCUAACUCAUGUGUUUGCUGUUGAAGAGAUCAAGGAUGAGAAGUCGUGGUAUUUUGAUAUCAAGUGUUUUCUCUAAAGUCAGAUUUACCCGUCGGGGGCAUCUUUGAAAGAUAAGAAGACUUUGAGAAGAUUGGCUGGCAACUUCUACCUGAAUGGUGAUGUGCUUUACAAGAGAAACUUCGAUAUGGUUUUUCUCAGAUGCAUGGAUAGACAUGAAGCAGACUUAUUGAUGACUGAAGUUCAUGAAGGUUCCUUUGGUACUCAUUCCAAUGGACAUGCUAUGUCUAAGAAGAUGUUGAGAGCAGGUUACUAUUGGUUGACAAUGGAAUCUGACUUUAUAAGUUUGUGAAGAAAUGCCAUAAGUGUCAAAUUUAUGCAGAGAAGAUUCAUGUUCCUCCGACACUGUUGAAUUUCAUUUCCUCCCCAUGGCCCUUCUCCAUGUGGGGAAUUGACAUGAUUGGCAUGAUUGAGCCCAAAGCUACGAACGAACAUCGUUUCAUUAUGGUGGCUAUUGACUACUUCACAAAGUGGGUUGAAGCGGCAUCGUAUACGAAUGUAACCAAGUAAGUUGUUGUGGGGUUUAUCAAGAAUCAGAUUAUAUGUCGAUAUGGUGUGCCAAGCAAGAUCGUUACUGACAAUGGAUCGAACUUGAAUAAUAAUAUGGUGGAAGCUCUUUGCAAAGACUUUAAAAUUGCACAUCAUAAUUCUUCUCCCUACAGAUCCAAGAUGAAUGGGGUUGUUGAAGCUGCAAACAAGCACAUCAAAAAGAUUAUUCAGAAGAUGGUUGUAGCAUACAAGGAUUGGCAUGAGAUGCUCCCAUUUGCUUUACAUGGGUAUCGUACAUUCAUCCUCACUUCAACAGGGGCAACCCCUUUCUCACUUGUUUAUGGCAUGGAAGUUGUGCUCCCGGUAGAGGUUGAGAUCCCAUCACUACGUGUUUUGAUGGAAGCCAAGUUAUCUAAGGAUGAAUGGUGUUAGACCAGGUUUGAUCAGCUAAAUUUGAUUGAAGAGAAGAGAUUAACGACCAUGUGUCACGAUCAGUUAUAUCAACAAAGAAUGAAGAAAGCAUUUGAUAAGAAGGUCAGACCUCGUGUAUUCAGAGAAGGUGAUCUUAUGCUCAAGAAGAUUCUAUCUUUCAAACCAGAUUCUAUGGGCAAAUGGACUCAUAAUUAUGAAGGUCCAUAUGUUGUUAAGAGAGCCUUUUCAGGAAGCGCUUUGAUUCUUACAACUAUGGAUGGUGAAGAGUUCACGCGUCCUGUGAAUGGUGAUGCAGUCAAGAAAUACUUCUCCUAAAAAGAAAAGAACAACUCACUAAGUUGAAAACCCGAAAGGGAGAUCCAGGCAAAAAUUAGAGACAUAAAAUAGAAAAUAAUCCUGAUAAAUUGAGUACCCCACCUUGGGGCAAUUUAUGCAAAAAUUAUGGAUUAUGGCAAGUAACUGCAAGCUGGUUGAUCUUCAGUUUUGAAGACUUUCUUGAGCACAAUGUUUGGUUCUGAUUCAUCUUCAGUCGAAGCCCAAAGCACAGUGGAUAUCAAAACCGGUAGAAGGAUUAGUGAUCAUUGUAUUUAAUGUAGCUCUUUUCCAUGUAAAUUACCAUUUUCCAACUUUUGUAAAGAUCUAUGGAGUCCUGUCAUUUACAAACUACCAUUCUAUUAAAUAAAGUUGAGCUUUUUAUCCAAUUGUUUCCACUCUUAUUUAUUUAGCUAAAUAGAAUUAAAUUUUAUUGUGAUCAUUUUGAAAUUAAAGUUUUAAAAUAAAAAUCAUGUUUCUUAAGUAAUAAAAGCAAUUUUAAAAAGCAGUCGAUUUUAGGGAUAUCCACAGCGGUCUGAGAACAGGUAAGCCCUAAAUGCGAAUCAUUGUUGGUUUUAUCCCCAAGCAGUUGGCAUGAUCUCUGUUUAUUCUCCAGCAUCAUUUCAGCAUCUCCAGCCGGGUUUCGUUGGUUUCCCUAGCUAAGUUUGUAAUUGCCUCCCUUGAGUUGUAGGCACGUUAUUUGCAGUAGUUUGCACAACUCGACAGAUUUUGGUUUCCCCUCAAGUCUCCAACAGCGUUGUCCAUGACCCCUGUUAGCCUCAAUUCUUGAGUGGUAUUCUUGAUCCUCAGUAAGGUUGUCUCCCAUUUGAUAUGGUGUUGACCUAAAAUUCCCCGCAGAGUUGAUAGUGCAGAUUUCCGAUAAAUCUUUUCCUUCACCCAGCCAGGGUUGAGCCUUUGGGAUGGAUGAUUCUUGUGGGUUCCUUUGCACCUUGUUCUCUCCAACAAUUGUUUCAUUCUUGUGAGGAUUGGUGGAGUACUGUAUUGAUGACGCAACCCAGUGACAUUUGUAUCCUUUGUGAUCGUUUUGUCAGCAUAAUCAUCAUAUAUGCAUAUACAUAUGCAUAUACAUUCAUAAAUUUUAUUACUACAUCAUAAUACACUUCGAGAUUUAUCGUUUCUCUGAUCCUCUGCUACAGUGGUAUACUUUUUCCCCCACACAGAUUUGGUUUGCCUUAAGCAGAAAGAAUUUAACCUUUCUCAUUCCCCACUGAGUUAUUCCUUCAUGGAUGAUUAUUAUUUCAGUUUCCUCCCCAGUUGAUAAUCUGGAUGAGACCACUCCCCUUGAGCUAUAUCCUCAUUGGGUUGAGUCUUUGAUUGGCCGUUUCUUUCUAGAUCCUACCUAGAUAGAUGCUUUUGGUCCCCUGAGAGUCUAUUACACAGUAACUGGUAAUAUUCUUCUCAAUUUGCAAGUAUUUCACUUUUUUCCCAAUACCCGACAAAAAUAACCCUUUUUUCUCCCCAGCGGAUUCGUUUUCACGUCUCCCAGAAAGUGUAUCCUUAAUAUGUUCAUCUUGAUCAAUGACGGAUACUCUUUCCCUUCUGAGUGUAUCCUUGAUAUGUUCAUCUUAAUCGAUGACAGAUACUCUUUCCCUUCUGAGUGUAUCCUUGAUAUGUUCAUCUUAACCGAUGACGGAUAUUCUCAUCUUGGUCUUCUACCCAGUAAUUGGUAGUUAUAAUCCCUAUUUUCUUUCCCCGGAGAGUUAAUCCUUGAUAUGUUCAUCCUAACCGACGAUGGGUUUCCUUCUCUUUACGGUCUUCUUCUCAGUAGUCGGUAGUUGUAAAUCCUGCUUCCCCUCGGAGUCUAUCCUUGAUAUGUUCACCUAACCGGUGACAGAUAUUCUCUUUUUUGGUAUUCUAUCCAAUAUCCGAUGGAUAUAAUUCCUACUUUUUCAGGCAGUUUAUCCUUGAUAUGUUCAUCUUAACCGGUGAGGGAUAUCCUUCAUAAUGUCCCCAGGUUAGUCUAUCAUUGAUAUGUUCAUCUUAACCGAUGACAAAUAUUUUUCCCUUUGAGUAUAUCCUUGAUAUGUUCACUUUAACCAGUGACGGGUAUUCUCUUUCUUUGCGGUCUUCUGCCCAGUAACCGGUAGUUGUAAAUCCUAUUUGGCUUUUCCUCAGCAGGUUAUUUUUACCCAGUAACUGGUAAUGAAUAUACCUCAUAUUUGCCCUCAGCGAGUCAUCCUUGAUAUGUUUACCCUAACCGAUAACGGAUGUCCUCCCUGUCAAAUUUUGUUAUACCCUUACCCAGUAACCGGUAAUGGAUAAUAUACUUCUGUUACUCCUGUGUUGAAGAUCAGUUCUUCCCCAGUUGAGUUUGAGCGUGUAUUUCCUCAAUGAAAUCGUUGUUUCCUGCUUGGGUCGAGUAUUUAGUUUUAUGUUGAUCUACCCGUUUCCCCUGCAGAUGUUCCUUUUAUUCCCCGGCGGAGUCCUUCCGUUGAUUUAUUCUCAUGGAAUCCCUCGUGUCCCCCAGCAGUUUUAAGUCGUAGCCUGGCCUACGCAUAACCCGUUUAUCCCUUAGAGUCUCUGUCUCCCCAGUGAGUUUUCCUUAUAGAAUGCAUUACGCUCCUACGGACUUUCAGUCUCUUCGGAUUCUUUUCCUUUGUGGCAAAUAUUUUCCCCACAUAGAUUAUUUUUGCAUUCAUAUCAUAUGCAUCAUGAGGUCUCUUAGGGACCAAAUUUUGUUUCUAUAUGUUAUUAUUUAAGUCCAUUCUACUGAGUCGAUACAAAAUUUUUAACCUUCAUCUCCUCAGCUAGAACGCUCUUAAAUAGGGCCAGCUGUAAGACCCCAAUUUUUACCCUAAGAUCCCUCAUGCUUUUCUCAUCAUAUGCAUUAGCAUUGGGAUCACACCUUGGCAUCCUCCUUACCCCUCAUUCACUAGGUUUUCAUUGGGAGAGAUCACCAAGCACAUUUGAUUGUAUCAUACUUCAUUUUUCUUUGUUUACUAACCAAAAUACCAAAAAUAUGUCAUUGUAUAGCUUAACUCUUUUGUAGGUAGUGCACAUGCUCACGUAUGUUCCAUCAAGCUCAUAUCUAGGGUUUAAGACUCUCAUUGCAAGGAGCUCAAUCAAGAAUUGGUUUACUAUGGCUCUAAGUAUCAUAUAUGAUCCUCCAUGAGUCCCAAAAGUCAAGAGAACAUCAAGCUAGCAAGUUGGUUCAUGGUGGUUGACCAGAGGAAUUCAACUAGUCAAAAUUGGGGUUCCCUAGACCCUAUCUCAUACAAUUUUUGUCAUAUGAAAAUAUUCCAAGAGCAAAGUUACUCUAAAUUACAUUCCAAACAACUUUUAUUUGAGGUAUAGAGCUAGUUUUGCUUGGAAUGCCAUUUUUUAUGGUGAAAGAUUAUAGGUCAUUUUGUCUAAACCCUAAUUUAGAGGUCAACUUCCCAAGACCAUAACUUGCUCAAUUUUUAUGAUAUGAAAGCUAUUCAAGUUGCAUGAUUAAACUCAAGAUGUCUACUUCAACUUUGAUGUUUGGAGGGAGUGCAAAUUCAACUUUUAAAUGCAUGUGAUAUGAGGAAACAUUAUAGGUCAUUUUGGGCCAAUACCAUUGAACAAGUGAUUUUCAUCAACUUCUAAAAUGCAUAACUCCUUCAUGCUAAAUCCAAAUGAGGUCAAAUUUAUGACUAAUCUGAAAGACUUUGAGAGAGCUACAACUUUGAGAAAGGAAACUUUCUCAUUUGAAGUCCAUAGAAAAAGUUACCCAAGGUGGAAAAAGUGAACAUAUGGCUUGGUACUUAGAAUUUUUUUUUUAUAUGUUUGGUUUUACAAACCUCCACCUCAAAAUUCAUCAUGAUCCAAGCUUCAAAUGAAAAAGUGUUCAACAUGAAAGUUGUUCUCCUUGAUCUAAACUUUCCUAAAAAGAAUGAAUGACUUGCACAUGACUUAAAGUUGAAGGACCAUUUGGAAGAUUUGAAGUUCCAUUUCUCACACACGAAUGCAUGGCCUUUCCAUAUGACUUCAGCAUUGCUUACACUCAUCUUUGGACCUAAAUGCACCAUUACAUGGGCAUGUCACACGCCCAUGCAUCCAUGCAAAUGAUAUUGCUAUUUUUGGAAUUUUGAAAGAAGUGUGCAAUUAUCAAUGACCUUGCCUAUAAAUAGAAGCCCUCUCACUCAGAAUUGAGGACCCUGGCGCGCAAGCUUUGAUUCAGCAACCCUAAACCCUCACAUUCAAAGGAAAAGCUUGGUGAUUUUCCUUGAAAAUCAAGUUUGAAAUCUCCCACUGUUUUGAGAUGCAAACUCCAAGAUUCAUUCUUCUUCCUUGAUCCAUUUCCACUCUAUUAAGCAUCUGAAGUAAGGCCAAGCACAAUUGAGAGCAAGAUCGUGUCCGUCUGAACCUGCAGUGAAGGUGAAUUUCUGAAUUUUUCAUCUCUUCGAUUCUCAUUCAAUUCUCCAUUACUCUUGUUGAUUUUUGGUUUUCUGAAGUCCUACCAAUGUAGGCAACAAGAUUGAGUUGCUUAAAGGUCAAAUCGAAGCAACUCAGAUCAUGAUCCUCAAAAUUCAACUCCCUGUAUCUUUCUAUAUACUUGGAGUUAGGUGAAACUGAGGCCAGAUUCGAGCUCCUGAGCAUUUUUACUUUAAACUCAUGUCCUCCUUUUUUAUUUUGGUGAUGGUUGAAGGUGGACCAGUCCGGUGAGGUCCACCGGAGAAGAAGACUGGAGCUCUGGCUUCGGCGAUGUGUUGGCAUGUCUCCAGACCACAUGAUCCUUCUAUUUUGUUUUAAUCUUGAGCGUCCAAAUUGAUUACCACGUGUGUGGAACAUCGACUAAGGUUCACCAUGGAUAGCGCGCUCUGAUCCACUUGAUCUGCCACCUCAAUUAAUGAGGGAGAUCAAGUGGUCCACGUUUUUUUUGUAUUUUCUGAUUUUCAUUUUAAUUGCUUUAUUUUCAUUAAUUCAUAUUAACUUUAAUAUUGAUCCAAAAAAUAUGGGACUUUCACAAAAAAAAAAAUCAAAUAUUUUUCUCUUUCAUUUUCUAAAUUAAAAUUAUUUUUUUGGAUCAAUAUUAAUAUUUUUCAUGAUUUAAUUGUUUUAUGAAUAUUUUUAAUUGUUUAAAAAUACUUUUAAGUUUCCAAAAUUUAUGAAAUUUUUUCUCCAAGGUCCUUUGACCUUGUUUGACCUAUGAUAAAUCUCUUGGUCAUUUAUUUGGUGUUUUGAAGAGGUUUUAGGAUUUUGAUCAACCAUAAUUUAUUUUAAUGCAUUUUUAAUUGAUUUUUAAUUGUUUAAUUGUGAAUAAAUUGUGUUGAGCUACUUUUGUUGACUUGUUGAGUUUGACUUUUAUUGUUGGGCAUUGGUCAAUGUUGAUUUGACUUUGUUGGAUUAAAAUAAUUGAAUUUAGGGGAUUGAUGAAAUGUACAUUUCAUCUCCCAAAAUGAAUGAAUGAUUUUAAUUUGAUAAAAGUCCUCCCAUGACCAAUUUGUGUUUGUUUCAUUUCCCCUCCCUCUUCAUCUUCAAUACCAUCCAUUUCAUUUGACCUAUGAUAUCUCUAUAUCCUAAGGCUAGUUGAUUGCAAAAUCAACAUAAGUAUGGAUGAGAUUAGGUCCACCCUGUUUCCAUUUUCUUUUAAGUGUGGUAUGUUUUAGGAGUAUGCUUCAUAAUACCAUAUCUCUAACAUGCAUUAACAUUAAAAUUUCUAUUGCCCGAUCUCAAAUAGUUUGACUUCUACAUAAGUCCAACUACGAUUGCUUAACAUAGCGCUAAAUUUUGACCCAAAAGCAUAGCAUUCUAGUAAGUGCGAUUGUAAGUCUCCCCCCUUUCAUGGUAUUGUGUGGAAACUUGGCCAUUUUCCUUCCUUUGGAAGAUGUCUUGGUUCAAGGAUCCAUGCUUGUGAAUAGAGGGUUGAGUGUUCUCCAAAGAAUGACUUAAAUAAUUGAAAGCAAAAGCAAUACUAACUUCUAAUCAACUAACAUUUGACUAACUUUUAAUUUCAAGUCAUUUACUUUAUGCACUUUAAAUUCAAGUCAUUUAUCAUUUACCAUUAUUCAUACCAUAUAACUUGUUUAUUUUAAUUCCAUUUUUAUUUUGCUCACUUGAGCCAUAUCUUGUGAUUAUACUUGUCUGUGUAUUUUGUUUGUGUUUGUGGUCUUUUGACCUUAAUGUACAUAAUAACAACAAAACCCCUAAAAAAGGAUUUGUGUGGACUGUUGGAUUUGAUCUGAGACUUUGGACUUAGAAUUAGGCAACAUUCCCUAUGCAAAAAGGACUUGACCAAUGCCAAUUUUUCUGAAGCCAGACAUUGUGAAGUGAACUUUCAUUUAAAGCAAGUAUUGAGUUCGCUUUUGAGUUCAUCUGCAACAUAGUCUUGAUACAGUUGUUACUUUGAAUCUGUGUCCAAUGCCCUAUUCUGAGCCAUUCAAGGAGUAUGUCAUAUGAUACGUGGGGAAGCUUAUGAAGAGGACUAUGGAGUUGCUAGCUUGGAUGUGGAUAUCUUUAUUUGAUGCCUUGAUCCUUCACCUUGCUAUUGUGUGUAUUGAUAUUGCUUUAUUCUAAAGUCCAAGGGAAAAUUGGGUUUCUAUAUGACAUUCUUGUCUAUUGGAUUGCAUCCCAUUGGUCAGAUCUUUUCAACUCUUAACUUUUAAUUUUUUGCUUAGGAUUAGUCUCUUCAUCUCCUCCCACUUCUUUAAUUUCUAAUCUCUCCCUCCUUUUAAAAUCUUCUUUGCUUGUGAUUUUUAAACUUAGACUUUAUUGCAAAUUAGAAACUUUGGCCUUAUGUCAUUGCAUUUUUAAACUUCUUUUUCUUAACCAAACUUGUAAAUGAACUUAACCAUACUUGACUUAAAAUUUCAAAAGACAAAAAGAAUUAACACUCAUUCAAAUUUUUUUAGGCCUUUUGUGCCUCUUUUAAACUUAAAAUUUUGUUAAAAAAUAACUCAUUCACUUUGAAAUUGUUACCACGGACUACGAGGUUUUGAUCCCUCAUUUUAUGUUGGUACGUACGCACAAGUCCGAAGGUCUUGUCAAACACAAAAAUAUAAUUAAUGAAUUCUUUUCUCAUCCUCACACUCUAUUUAUUGCAAACAUCUUUUAUACCAAAACACAUGUACACACAAAAAAGGGCUCCCUAGGAGUACCUAUGACACUUUGGGUGCUAACACCUUCCCUCUGUGUAACCAACCUCAUUACCUGUAAUCUCUGUCAUUUUAUUAGUUUUGAUUUGAAAACUUCUUAUCUUUGGGUUUUGUUCGUACUUUUCCCUUGGAAACAAUAAAAGCGUGGUGGCGACUCUAGUUUAAUUGACGUCAAGCUUAUCCAUAGCUCAAUGGUCAUGAUUUUACCACUACAGCUUGUACGUCGUUUACUGUUGUGUUGAGUUGAGUUAUGAUCGCCAUUUUGAACGUGUUUGGUACUGCAGCACUUCUGUCAUUGCAACGCGAUUUUCUGUUACGUUUGAUUGUAUUGGUUUUCACUGUGUUUCCGCUGUGUUUUAAUUGCUUAAUAUUGUCGUUCAUGCUAUUGAGUUUUACAGUUGCAGCUUCUCUUUUAGCUCGAUUGGCGCCCGUGGCUUAUGCAAAUUUCGUUUUUGUCGUCUUGGCUUGCAUUGGGAAUCGCAACUCGCAUUUUGGUUCACACUUCUGUAGCUGCUGUUGCAUUUUGAAUUUCAUCUUGCGUCGUCGUUUAAGUGUUGUUGGUUAUGGCUCGCAUUUGGAAGCUGAAUUUUCCGUUUUGCUUUGUCGUUUAUGCUUGUUCGCUUCCAUGUUGUUGCUGAUGUAGUACUUGCUGCAGGAUGCCAACUUGGAUAAUUGAUGUGUUCCCAAAGUGGAUAAUGACUUUGGAAAUGGUUAAUUAUGGGUAAUGGAUUUGGAAAUGGUUUUAAAUGGAUAUUGGACUUGGAUGGGUUUUAAAUGGAUAAAGGAUUUGGAAAUGGUUAAUUAUGAAAUUGGUUAAUUGGAUUAAAUGGAUUUGGAUUGUAUGUUAAAAUGGAUAUCAAUUAAUUGGAUUUUUGGAUUUGGAGUUAUGAAUAAAAAUGGAUUUGGAUUGGCUUAUGAAUUAGCAUGGCCCAUUAGUGAAAUUAAAAGAAAAUUCUAAUAACUAAAAUAAAAUGUCAAGAUUAACUUGUGACUAAAACAAUAUUUUCUAAAAUAAUCGGCUAAAGAAACAAUUAUGAGAUAUUUUCCAGACAUCAAACUAAAAUCUCCAAAGUCGACUUGAAUCUCAAGAACCAAAUUUUGAAUUAAAUCAAAUUUGAACCUUUAAAAUCCAUUCACAACUUCUAGAAUUAAUUCAAAACCGUUGAAAUGACUAUGGACCACGUGAUCAAGGAUUUAGAGGUUGACGGUUGACUUUGGUCAAAUGGUUGACCAAAAAAGUUAAUAGUUGACCAAAAGUCAACCCAGGUAAAAACACAUAUUUUCUUAUAAACAAACGAAUAUGGAUCACAACAUCCUGGACCAAUGACUUAUGUCAAUGCCAUGAAUCAAACCAGGUGAAUGUCCACCAAACAAUAGGUCAUGCACAAGAUCCUUGACUAGCAAGGUCAUGAAUCAGGAUUUCAACCCGUAUGAUGUGCAAUUCCAUAAACUUCAAUCCAACUCUGAUUUUAUCAACCACAAACCCUGAAUCCAUGAUACCUGUCAGCAGAUGUUAAUCAUGAAUGAAUGAAUGCACAUAAAUGAGCAUGAAUGAAGUUAGAUGGUUAUCAAGUUAUAGUCAGAUGAAAAAGCGAAAAGGAGGACAAAUUUUGGGAUAUGACACCUAGAACACUAGAAGUAGAUGCAGCAAAAAUGCUUAUCUUAAUGGUUUUGCUCAUGAAGACACAAGAGCCAAGCCAAAGAGUUGUCAACCUCAAGGGGUCCCCAUUGGAAAUCUCUUUUUGUUAUUUUUGUUUAACUGUAAUAAAAUAUGUAUCUUAUUAUAAUAUAGAAACUUAUUAUUAUAUAUUUUUUGAAAUAUUUUUUUAUUUGUUGUGAUGUAAAAGAUAAGUAAAAUAAAAUGUAACUUAUUUUUCUGAAUUAUAAUGUAGAAAAAUAUUUUAUUUCUUAUACAAAAUGUGAUUAUGCACUUGACUUACUUAAUUCAAAUUAGUAGAAUCAAGAGAAUAAAAAUAUCAUGACUAUAAUUAAUUUUAAUUCUUGGCUCAAUUUGAAAUUGCAAAUCAAAUAUUAUUAUUACUACCUCUAAUGACACAAUAAGAAACAAAAACAAAAACUUAGACUUGUAAAUCAAUUAAACUUUUUUGCUAAAACUUAGUAAAUAAAAAUCAAAACAAGACAAAAUCAAAUAGCAUUGUAACUUAUUUUGAAAUGCAAUGCAAAGCAAAGACAUAGCCCUAGUUAAUCAAAGCUAAAUCUUAAAAAUCACAAACUCUCUAAUUACUCAUGUUAUCAAACAUCCAAAGUAAUGCAUGAAGGUUCAUAAUAAACCUUAAACAAAUCAAUCUGACAAAGGUUAAGUGAAAAUCCAUUCCCGAUACUGAUUAUGGACAUGUAAUGAAUAGGCGAAUGCAGGAAGUGAUCAGAACAGAUAAAUAAAACAAAAUAAUUAUUAAUCCUGACUUAUGUAUGGGAAAUGAAAUCUUUAUGACCAGAUGAAACAGUUAUAAGGAAUCAGCUCAGAUAAUGAGAUGCAGAUGAAUGAAACAUAAAUGAAUUGUUGCAGAUGUAUGAAUGUCAAUGGAUGAAUGCAGAUGAAAUAGGUGGGACAAAAUUUAGGGUAUUACACAACCUUUAUCAUCCAUCUUAGUAUUUUAUUAUUUUUUAUUAGUAGCUAAUUGACUAGAUUAUGUUUUAUGAGAUGAACUUGUAAUGAACUUGUUGGAUCAUGUGUUUAAUUUGAUGUUAUUUGAAUUAUGGAAGUUAUAAUUUCUAUUUAAUUGUUCUUGUGCUUAAUGCUUAUUAUAUGUGAAAGAGCUAAAAAUUUGAUAUUAGAUUAGUAGGGAUCACUGACACUAAGCCUAUAAAUAUGAACUAGAGAAAUCGUUCUACUUUCUUCAAUUGAAUUGGAAUAGGAUACCACUAAUAGUAGCUUUUGAAUUAAUGUACCGUAACAACACCCAAUUUCACUCUUACCGACCGAAUAGAGAUAGAAAAUCACUAGUAGAAAUUAGUGAGUUGUACACCAAGGGAUUGUGUAGAAUGUUUUGUUAAUUUAUCGUAGGAUUAUAAUGAUAAUAUUCUUCACCUAAUGCACUAAACAAAACUAGGGGAACAAGGGAUUCGAGUAAAACCUAAUCGCUUUCUCGUUAUUAUAUUUAGGAUCAAUUUAUUUCUCGUAUUUUUAUCUUUGCAAAAUCAAUUUAAAAAUACCCCAUUGUUACUGUAUUUCACAUAUUUUUUACUUUGUUAAAUUUCAAUACGAUAUCUUUUAUUAUUAUUUCGAUUAAUCCAUACAUUUUCCAAAAAGUCAUCACUAAUCCCCCUUGAUAUGAUGAUGGUAUACAAAGAGUCUCUAUAUUUUGGGGAGUAAACUUUUUUUAAAUGUAAUCUUGUGUAUGUCACUUAAAAAUACAAUUAUUUAAAAAAAUACCACAUAAUAUAAUUUAAAAUAAGUAUUUAAAUGGGCCUUUCAAGGGUCUCAAGCGACUUCAUAUUGAGUCAAUGGUCCAACAAACAAAUUAAUUGCGGCAUUGAUUCUAAUCUAUAAGUAAACAUAAUCCAAAUUGAAAUAACAAUAGCUACAUUAAUUUAUUCAAAAUUUCACAAAAGGUCCUUUGCAUGCAUAAAUGUGGUCUGAUAAAGCAAGUACUUAAAAGAUCUCACUCCAAUGCCCUAAUUGACAUGGUCAGAUCUUAAGUACUCAGCCCAAAUGACUUGUUAGUGUACAAUUUUGCAAACUCAUUCAAAUUCCCAACCUAGAUAUUUUCUCUGUGCUUUCCACUAAUCUUGCUUUUCAUCACUCUGAAUUUGAGGAAGAGAAAGACAACAACUAAAGAGAGAGAAUUGUGUGUAUUUCUUCUUCGCCCGCUGGAUUCAUAUUUAUCUGAUUCUUAACACUAAUUUCCGAGUCUCGACUUAGUUUUAGUUCUAAGAAACUUGGUAAAUACUCUUUCUUUGAUACUUGAGGUUGGUGUUUGAAUUCUUGCAUUUGAUCCUUUUUAUCAUGCACCUAGUUUUAAAAAAAAAACAUUUCUUUAACUAAUGCAAUAUAUAACUAUACCAAAAGAAAACCUAUCUAAAUAGUAAUAAUAUCUUUAUAAGGUAUUAAACAUUGGAAGCUAGAAGAUCCAAUAAUAACUUAUUAGUGAAACAAUAAAUAUGAUGCAAACUAUGUUAUAAAAUAGCAUGCAAAAAAAAGGUAAUGUAAUUCUAUUACCUUAGUGAAGACAGGACUCCAUGAAAAAAGCUGUGCACUAUGAUCAUCUCGAAACAAGCUUUCAUGAUUUUCACUUCCUUGUAAUCGAGGAGGCCACUUCUUUUCUUCGGGUAGUAACUGAUUUAUUUGACUAGAAUUUAUAGGUCCAUUAUUAUUUCUUGUUAUUGCAUCUUUUACAUCAAAUAUAUGUGAACUUGUUUUAUAUAAAUCUUUGUCCCACAUUGAACUUGAUCUAAAGAUCACAUGAUUGUUGAAAAGACCACUUUGAUGAAACCUAUAAAUUAAGAAAAUAUUAAAUAAUGAUUUAUCAAAAUUAAUUUCAUGCAUGCUUUAAAUAAAUAUCCACUAAUAAUAACUAUAAAAAAUGAAAAAAAAAAUGAUUGUAAUUUUAGAUAAACUUUAAAAUGUAGAAAAAAAUUUUAAAAAAUCUAAAAAAAUACAACACCAAAUUAAAUUUUAUACUAUUUUUAGAUAAAUUUUAAAUGAAUAAAAAUUUUUAAAAAAAGAUUUUAUAAGAAUAAUAAAAAAUAAUUUAACUGUAAUAUUUUAUGAACACAAAAAUAAUACUAUAUAUAUAUUACCUUGAAGAGCUAUGAGCUUUGAUUUCAUUAUAUGGGUGCAAAUAGUUGUUAUUAUUAACACCAAAGUGUCCUUGAACAUUAAAUCUUCCAUACAUAUCCAAAAUAUGAUGAUGCUUUCCUUGCAUUUCCCUAUUUUUUUGGGAUAAAACUGAAAUAAAAUAAAAUGAAAAUAUAAUCAUGCAUUUAUGUAAAACCCUUGGAAACAUUAAAUAAUAAUGAACUUGCUAACAAAAUUAAGGCUCUGAAAUAUUUAUUUAAUUACCUUGGCCAGACUCAUCAAGUUUUUUACUCCUAUACAUCUGAACAUCCAGAAGAAAAAAAAACAUAACUAAAAUGAACAAUUAAUCAAAGAUAAAAAGUCAUUUCAACUUAUAAGUAUUUAACAUAAUUAAUUUCUAAUCAUGAAUAUAUUACCUGCAAAUGACUCUUCACAUGUGCAAUGCUAAGUCCUCUCACAUUCAUCAAUUGGAGAACCAACUUGGGUGUUGCUCCUAUACCAAAUAUUGUCAACAAAAUGUUAAUGAAAAUGCUCAAAAUAAAUAGUUUUUCUUAUGCAUCAAAGAAAUAUAAUAGUACUUCAAUUCAUAAAAACAAAGAAUCACACCAGAAAAAAAUAUUAUGUAAAUUUAUGUAUAUAAUCAAGAGUAAAGUGAGUGAAACUUACUUUCUUGGCCUCCAAGUCUUUCAACAGCAUGCACAAAAGAUAAAUGAAGAUCAGGAGUCCAUCGAAGCCUAGGCAUUUUCGACCUAACAUAUUGUCUUACGGUACUUCCUCGCCCUUUCCCUUCUUGAUCACUUGAAUUACGAUCAUUGCUACUCAAGUUCUCCUCUUGUGAUGAUAUCUCAUUGUUGUUGCUUAUCUCACCACAAUUAGGGCCUUCAUCACUUACAAGUUGUGUCACAUGAUCAUCAUCUCCAUCGUCGACCGCUUCUUCGUUUAAGUCGAAGAAGGAACGUUUUCUUCUAUUUGGCGAAGAGGGUUUUGUUCCGAUAUCGUUACUAUCUUCAUUUUUGACGACUUCAUUAGAUAUGUGAAUUCUCUCUGCCAUUUGUGUUCUAUUUUCUUCUUCUAUCAAAUUACUUUGAUGUUUUCUAGUAGACAUAAAAGUUGCAUCAAAUAUAGAAGUUUGCACUUGUUCAAUAUAAUUAUUGCAAUAUAUUGAACCAAGAUAUGUUUGCUAAAUAAAUGGGCAAAAACAACUGAAUUUUUUAAUAGUGACACGAGGUUAUGUUUUAGAAGGAUUCAUGUUUUGUUAAACUACAUUUGUACCAAAAAUUUAUUUAACAACAUGUGUGCUUAUUCCUAGGUCUUGGAAUUCCACACUCACCUAGCUAUCUACCUACAAUUUGAAAAUUGUUAAAUUGAAGAGUGUAUUAGACCUAAAGAAUACUCUCUUUCUAACAAAAAUAUGAACAAAAGUUAUAUAUCUAUCUACUUUUUUUUUCUUCUCAAUAAAAUUAAGUGACUUAUAUGUGAUCUAUAUAAAAAGUUUCAAUUCUUUCCAUGAAUGUUAAUUAAAGAUAUGCUUUUUGUUAUAGUGAAAAUUAAGUGUGUGAGUUGGGGGAUACUAUAGAAGAUGGAAAGAAAUGGUCUAAUUCUCACAUCCAUAAUUAGAUAAAAAAUCUCAAAGUUGAUUUUGAAGUUGUGAUUUGUAUAGAGAUUGAAGUAUGCUUGUAUUUUGUUAAAUAAAAAUUGUAUAUAUCUAAAUAUAUUCCAUGAAGAAAUUUAUGUUCUACUUUAUUUCUAAAUUUAUCAAGAAAACUAGAUCCAAAAAUAGUAAAAUUAAGACUUAAAAUCAAAUGCAAUUUUUUUUUUCCAAAAACAUCUUGAUGAGAGAGAGAGAGAGAGAGAGAGAGAGACAGAGAGGAAGAGAGAGGACGAGAGGAGAGAGAGAGAGAGAGAGAGAGAGAGAGAGAGAGAGAGAGAGAGAGAGAGAGAGAGAUAGAGAUGUACAAACCAUUGCUAAGGAUGAAGCUUAACAACUCUCUUCCAAGAUAGCUUCCUCAAACCACAUAUGAAUAUUAGAAAGAGAUCCUAUAUAUUAGCCAACCCUUGUUUCCAAGAUCCAAUAAAGCCAAUUAUUUCCUUGGAGAAUCAACUUUGCAAUUGACUUGAAGUAAAAGAAGGUAAACCUAACUCAUAUUUGUUGAUCCAAAUGUAUCUAUGGAUGAUGGAAGAAAGAAAAGGAAGAAGAAAAAAACCCUACUUGGUUAUAAGGUUUCUUUUCAUUUGUGUUUGAGCAAUGGAUGUAGCUAGCUGGUUUUGGAAUGUAAGGAAACUAAUUAAAGCUUGAAAUACCAUAGGCACAUCAAAUAUUCUCACAAAUGGUACUAUAUUCAAAUAUCAUAAAAUAUUCUAUAUGUAGAAGACAAUUGUCGGACAUUAAACCACUUGUAUAUUUAUAUUUCUAACUGAAUUCAUUUUCAUUAAUUGACUUAUAAUUUAACUAUUAUAUACACAAUACAAAUAUAAAUAAAUAAAACAGAAAUUAAUAUUUUAUCAAGCUAUCAUUAUUAAAUAAUAUAUUUACUACUAUUAUUAUUAUUUGAAAUGUGAAAUAGAAGAUAUUGAUUUAUAAAAGAUGUAGAAGUAUUAAUUAGAAGAUAUAAUCUAUAAAAAUUAAUCAAUGAUUUAAAAAUGUAAUUUAUUUUAGAAUAUUUUUGUUGUAAAUAAAUGGAUUAUUGUGGAAUGUAGAGAAUAUUAACUUUGAAAUAUUUGAUUUAGCAAGUAGCUAGCUAGGUAGCUAAGAAUUAACAACAAAAGAGAUCAAAUACACACGUAUGACCCUUAUCUUGGACUAUUGAGAAUCAUGUGAUUUUCUUAGCUUUUAUUUUAUCUUUUCAAAUUUUCUUUGACAACUUUUCUCUUUCUCCGUGAUAAUCUUUAUUCUUUACUAAUAGUAUUAGUUGACCUCUGUUACUGAUAGCUCCCAUUUAUUUUUAUUUAUAAAAAAAAACUAUCUUAAUUAUGCCAUUAUAUAUACUAUAAUUAUAUCAAAUUAGACCAAGACUUGUAAGUCCACAAAUACACAUCACCUUCACAACUUUUACUUUUGUAUCUCAAAUAAUGCAUGCGGAAAAGUUCUUUUCAUACUGUGAAAUGAUAAAUGAGGAUAUGAAGUCUCAUAAAUUUGUUUGAACGUAUGAGAAUAAUAUAUAUAUAUAUAUAUAUAUUAUAUAUAUAUAAUAUAUAUAUAUAAUAUAAUAAUAUAUAAUAUAUAUAUAUAUAUAUAUAUAUAUGGAUUUGUGAAGAUGGAUUUUACUAUGAAACACAUUUGAUUUACUGAUUACCUCGAAAAGUUCACGUCAGACUGUCUAACUUUUAUAAUAAGGGGGACAAGCGCAAUGAUAGGGGUAAAGAAAUGUACUAUUAAGGUUAUAACCAUUUGUCCUAUAUGCUUCUUUUAUCUCCAAAAUGAAUUACUCUAACUUUGAAUUAAAAAAAUGUUCAACGAGAAUAUGGUAAGAGUAAUAAAAGAGUAUUUUUCUGUUGACAUUAAUUGAGUAUCGAAUUUUUGUUUUAUAGUGAUUUUAGAUGUUGGUUAUUUAAGAAAUAUGUGGAAUAAUUAUUGAAGAAAAAUUAUAUUCUGAUGUCUCUUAGCCACUUCUAUUUAUAGAAGAUUUAGUAGAUGGAAAAAAUAAUAUUAUAAAAUUAUUUAGGUAGCAAAAAAACUGUACUAAAAAAUUUAUUUGGACAGAAAAACAAUAUAUUAUACAUUUUAGUAUGAAAAAAUAAAAAAUAUUAUGUAAUAGUAUAUAUUUAAUAUUAUUUUUUAAUUAAUAUUUAAUAUUUUUUAAAAAUAUUAUGUAAUAAUAUAUUUAUUUUAUUUAAAAAAUUAAUUAAUUAAUGUUAUAUUAAAUAUCAUUUUUUAAUUAAUAUUUAAUAUUAAAAAAUUAAUUUUAAUUAUUUAAAACUAAUUCAGAAAUUUAAAAUGAAAAAAAAACUCCAUCUUAGAUGGCGGACCCCAACUGGGUUUCUAGGGCGUCCGUCGUCCAAGAUAGAGGGUGCAAAAAAAUUAAUUAAAAAACUCCACAACAUGACAAAAAAAGUGGCAUUUAAGAAGAAAAAAAAUUAAGUGAAUAGCAUUUUGGGAAUUUAAUUUAAGGAAUGUGGCUCUAUAUCAAAUACUCUCUAGACAUUGGUUAUUUUUGUUUUAGAAAUUAUUUUUCAUUAUCUUUCGGUAAAUUUUAACUUUUAAAGAAAUAAUUGAAAAUUAUAUGACGUAUCUUCUUUUAAAGCAUAUGAUUGUAUUUAAGUCAUUGAAUUUACAUAUUUUCAUGAUUUGAUUUAGCUAUAGAACUCGUUAAGAAGUGUUAUUUGCAUUUGUAUGUGCUUUCUCAAAUAAAUUAAAAAUAUUUUUAUAUGUUGGUCUAUUCGUAUAGUUUUUAGGUCCACGUAUCAACCUUUGUCUUUUAGUCUAAUGGUUGAUAUUUGAAGUUGUUUCAACUUUCAUAGAGACAUUUGUUAAGCGUUUAAAAAUCAGAUUGUAUAACAGAGUUUUAUAAACAGAGUUUAGGUAGGAACUUUUUACUUUACAUGAGAUCCGUCUUUUGGACAGUUCUCCUUACACUAAAUUUAAAUUUUAGCAUAAUUACAUGAUAUACAUUAGAGAAAGCUGAUGUGAAUAAAGCAUGAUAUAUAUAAGACACAAACAAUAUAAAAUAAUAUAAAAUUGAUUUCUUAAAAGUGACAUAACAUGGUUUUGUUCUAAAAGAGUUUUUCUUUACAAAGAAAGUCAAUUGCAAAAAAAUCUAAAAUUGGGGCGUAAAAUGUAAAUUGUGCAAAAUAUUGGAGAGAUUACAACUGAUGUUUACGAUGAUUAAAUAGUCUUCAGUCCAUUAGGAUGGACAAUAAUUCGCAAUAAGGUCUUAACUUAUUAGUGUGUAAGAGGUAAAGAGUCAAAAAGCCAAAACAUGAAACAUCAAAAAAAAGCGAGAUGAUGUGAGUCAUUUGGGGCCAUUGCGGUCGUAAUGUCAUUAUGGGUUGGUUGUAAUGACCACUCCAUCGUGUCAAAACUUCAUUUAUAGAAAUCCAAAUUUUCCGAGGUCAUUACGACAGUAAUGCCCAUUACGGGCAGACUGUAAUGUCCUCUAGUUUGUGCUAAAAUCACUUCCUUCUUGCUAAUAUUUAUCGGCAUCUUCAAGCAUCUUUCUACUUUAGCUUUUCUUUCGUUUACACAUGGAUUUAAACCUUUGACUAUCUUUAAACUCCUAAAACAAAUUAGAAAGAAGAAAGUAGAAGUAACAUGGAAAAUAAAAUGAACUAAAAGUAGAAAAUAAAUUAUAUAUUCAAACGACUAAAAAUGAUACAAACACGACUUAUUAAACUCCUUAUGCUUGAAUCGUCGAUUGUACUCAAGCAAUUAAAUCACUUAGGAAAUAUAGGGACAAAUAAUUUUUUAUAAGAAAUAAGGUAUGCAUGUUUGGAAGUUCAUUCAAAAUCCACAGGGAAACUAAUCUAGGCCUUUAGUCUUUUAGGGUUAACUUAGCUCAAACAUUCUUUCAAAAAUAUUUUACUAAUUUCUUCCUCAAAGAUUAAAUUCCUUAACCAUAAACCUUUUAUUCAUAUUGAUUUUCAUUACGCAUACAAUCAUGAUUUCAAAAGGAAUUUUCCCUAUGAUAAUAUUUUAGAAAUUUGACUUUGUAAUGUACUUUUGAGCAUUUUACACAUAUAUCUCUCUUCUAUUUUAGAGCAUAAAUCAACUUUUAUAAAGAUAAUAGUUGUUAGAGUAAGAACAAUUGAUUAAAAACGAUUGACUAGUUUAAUAAAACUUAAUUGGAGGAUACUAGUUGCUAGAGUAAGAAGGAUUCACUAAAAAAAUUAACCUUAGAUUUUGCAUUCAUGUGGAAAUAUAUUUGUUUCAUACAAGUACACAUAUCUUUAUUCAACAAAUAUUCAACUUAAUUAAACAUAACACAUCAUACACAUAAAUUAAACUAAUGAAAAAUUGAAAAGCACGAAACUUCACUCAUGCAUAAAUCAUACAUUGUCCAUAAUGUAAAAGUAAUAGACAAAGAGAAGAAGAAGGAAAACUCACAAAAUCAUGGUUGAGAGAAUGAAAAGUGAAAGUGAGGGGGAAAUGAUGAGCUUUCAUGUUUAAAGGUGAGUUUGUUGAAUAUGAUAAGUGUUGCAUCUCAAAAUAUACGACACUCGCAAAGCAUGUCGCACGCUCGCGGAAUGACUAACAGAGACACCAUCGAUCUUUAUUUAUUCCCAAAAAAGGAAAAGGAAAAAUAUCGAUAAAAUCCCUAAAAGAACGACUAAGAUAUGGUUGUCACAACAAAAUCGAGUUCGGAAGUCGAUUACGCAAGGGGAAGGUAUUAGCACCCCUCACGUCUGUUGUACUCAACGGGAACCAUUUAGUUAGUUAUGCGCAUUAGUUUUAACUUUCGAAUAUUGGCUUCCUGAGUUAUUAAAAGGGAAAAAGAAUACGACUAAAAGGUGAAUUUUUUUAUUAAGGUGUUUGACGAGACUUUGAAUCCCGCUCCUACGUAUCUCUGGGUGCGAUGGAGAACUCAAGGCUACGUAGUUCUGGAUAGAAAAAGUUUGUUUGUGGAUCGAUUUUAGUAAGAGUUAUCAUUAAACAGAAAAUACUGCUUAUCCAAAACAGUUAGAGGAAGGGGGUUUGCAUCACAUUGAAUGGAUUUUUACAUAUCAAUAUUCACAGGAAAAUGUUUGUUAUCUCACUCACACAUUUGUGGACGAGGCGUUGUUUUUUCAUCGUUUCGAAACGAAACAUCAUUUUUUUGGAAAAUAUUUUGAAGGUUAUGCCAAGAGGAAAAAUGGUUUGGAUAAGUGGGAUUGAUUGUGUGGUGAGUAGUGAAGAAAACGAAUGAAGUUAUGUUUCAGAGUGUAUGAUCUAUGAAGUUUGGCAUGCGACUAUGAGAGAAAAUAUUUGUUUGAUGUGGAAGAAUGAUGGGAAAUGUGUAUGGUACAAAAUGAAGGGUGCUUGAAAUGGGGUUAUUGUGUAGUAUGUGAAGAUGAAUUAGUUUAUGUGGGAUGUGUGUAUUGAGAGUCGAUGGAAAAGGUUUAAAGUGAGAUGAUGAAGUUAUGGCCACUGUCCAGAAGAGUGAGGAAGGAGAUAUAUGAUUUUAUGUUUUCGUUGGUUUUCGUUCUUUCUUUUUAUGAGUUUUUGAUCUCAUCUUCAAAUAAAGAGAGAGUGACCAGUGAAGGGUAAGCACCGCUUUCUCUUGGUGUUGUGUAAUUAGUCUGAAUUUUUAUCUGCAUUCUCAAAUGGCCAGUCACUCUAUUUAUAUUUGAGGGUUAGGGUUUUAAUUUUAUUAAAAUGUCACAAUUUCCCCCUUAGUUAACUUAGGUGAUAAGAAAAAUUAAUUUUGAGAUUAAAUGGAUAAAAUUCACAAUUUUUUAAUAAAGACAUAAAAAUCAAAUAACUAUGUAUUUGUCUCUAUUUAUUUUUGUUUGACAUUUUGACAAAAAAUGAAAAUAAAAGGACAUAAAAUAAAUAAAAACCGGGGGCGAAAAUGCGCAAAAAAAUAAAAUGAACGCAUUAAAAUGAUCUACGCAAAAUAAAAUUCUAGAAAACAGACAAGUAAAGAUCAAAUUUUGCAAUAAAAAAUAUUUGUUUGAAAAGGCUUGAGGCUGAUCUAAAUGUGGCCGCAAAUGGAAUCGAAAAAAAUUAAAUGAGCAUGUUGGGUUAAACUACAUGAAUCGUAGGUCAAUAAAACUGACAAUUGCAAGCCCGGACUUUAAAUUUUUCGUCCGUUAAUUUUACGCGUAAUUGAAAAUUGAUCCAACUGAUAUGUCUAUAAAACCGAAAUUUUAGUUUGGUCGACUUUUAACGCAUUAUGCUAAAAGAAAUGCAUGUCAUGAUAUGCAGAUGAUGCAAAUUUCUUAUGAAUGCAUUAAUUUAUUGAUUUAGGGGCAAAUUUGGGUUAUGACAAUUUCCCUUAUUUAAGUAUCUUCGACUAGAGAAUAUGAAGAAGGUCACUCUUCAUAUGAUCACAGUGGAAGAUAGUUAAAUACUAAAGAACCGAAAAUUUUCCCGUUGAUGAAAUGAAAUAAAAUGAUAUGCUAUGAAUGUAUCGAAGACUCUUUUUUUUGUUUACUAGGGAUAUGAUAUGAUACAAGAUGAACCCUAGCAGGAUGUUUUAUGAAGGAUAACGAAUGAAAGGUGAACUAGUGGGGAUUGAUGGAGAUAUGUGAGCGGUGAUCCACAUGAAAUGAAAAGGAUGGAAAGGAUGAAAGACUCACUAGGGAUAACAAUUAUGCUGGAGAAAUUUACUGGGGAAUGUGUUAGACAGUGUUGGAUUUUACCUGUAGGAAUCAGUAAUAUAAAUUGGCUUCAAACGGAGGGUGUCAAACAACACUAGACUUUGGAAAAGCCAACAAAAUUGGAUUUUGGGGUCAAUGGAUAUAAAAUCAACAAUGAGACUUGGUCAAAGCAAAUGAACGCGAAUUACACUUCGAGCUAAGCAUGAUUUCAAAUUUUUCUUCUAUGCAUGAUAUAUGAACAAGACAAAUGGAAAUUAAGAUAGAUUGAAAACAAAGAUAGAUCGUCGUCAACACGAGUGUUGAUGCCUAGAUCAUUAAUAGUACAAAUCAUCUUUAACACGAGGGUUGAUUCCUAUAUCAUCAGUAGGACAAAUCGUCACCAACACGAGUGUUGAUGUCUAGAUCGUAAACCAUACAAAUCAUCGUAAACACGAGUGUUGAUGCUUAUAUCGUCAACAAGAAAAAUUCCUGUCAACACAAAUGUUGAUGCUUAGAUCGUUAACAAAGAAAGUCAACGUUAAUAUGAGUGUUGAUGCCUAAAUCGUCAACCAGAUGAAUCAUCGUCAACACGAAUGUUGAUACCUAGAUUGUCAACAAAUCUUUGUGGAAAUGCAGAUAAGCACGAAAUGCGUUUCGAGUGAUGCAUGAUCUAUGAUGUAUGAAUGAUCAAUGCAUGCAGUAUGUUCAUUGUGGGUUAUACAACUGAUGGUUGUGCCUUUGUGAGGUGACAAGCCAAAUCGGGAUUUUAUUGUUUGAUCUUUCAUGCUAUGGAGCUAUGGUCGAUGAAUGUGAUGAGAUGCAUGGCUUGAUUCUAGAGUUAAGCGACAUGAUUAAUGCAUGUGCAUUAUUUAUGCAAUGACUCGAAAGAUUCCAAAGAUGUCCUUGUUUGUGUAUUUGAUGGAAGGUCUUUUUGCAGCAAAGUUUUUUUGUCAAACAGUAGAGGGUUAUUGGAUGGGGUGCUAGGAUAAUUCCCUGGAACUUGUUUCAAACUCAACAGUUGUUGACGUAUGCCAGAGUUUGCUUGAAUAAAUUGAAGAGUAAUUUCCCUUAUUUGGCUCAUCUUGCCUCUUAUGUUGGUUCUUUGAAGAUGUUUUCCUUGAAAGGAGUUUGGAAGCAGUUUGUCACAACAUGACCUUAGGACAGUUUGCCACAAUGCUUGAAUCUUGCAGCAUUCUACUCUUGGUUAACCAAAUCUUGGAAUGGUAGACUUCCGAUUUACCGACCUUUGGAGAGUUGUAUUUAUUGUAUUCUUGAGGUAGCUUACCUUGGUGCUUGAAUCUUGUAACAUUCUACCCCUGAUUAACCAAUUCUUGGAAUGGUAGACUUCUGAUUGACCGAACUUUUGAGGGUUGGACACACAGUUCUCUUUGUGGUGGCUUGACCUAUUCUAAGUGCUGAAGUGAUUUUCUCUAUAAUAAAUGACUCUUGGGGUGAUUGGCUCAGAUUGACUGAUGCUCAAAGUGAUUUUCCCCUGACUGGACAUCUUUCACAUGAUCAAGCUCCUCAACGACUAUGCAUUGUUGGGAUUUGAUGACAGAUUGUCAUUAUAUGAUUUUUAUGAGUAUUUGUGAUGAAUUUGAUGGAACUUCAAGUUAAAGAUGAUCUAUAUAUGAAUGCAUAUGAAUAAAUGAAUCUAAACAGUUCCCUGAAAAUGAAAAUGAACAUAAACAUAAAAACAUGUUCACAUCAAGAUACAUUAAAAUAUGCAUCAUGCAUUUGUAGCGGUAAAUUCAUGAUCAUCAAGUUAUGGAUAAACUUAAUGUCAAUAAAACCAGAGUCGCCACCUUGCUUUUAUUGUUUCCAAAGAAAAAGGGAAAAGUACGAACAAAACCUAAAGGUAAGAAAUUUUCAAAUCAAAACAAAUAAAAUGCCAGAGAUUACAGGUAAGGGGGUUGGUUACACAGAGGGAAGGUGUUAGCACCCAAAGUAUCCUAGGUACUCCUAGGGAGCCCUUUUUAUGUGUGCGUGUGUGUUUGGUAUAAAAGAUGUUUGAGAAAAAUAGAGAGUGGGGAUGAGAAAAGAAUUCAUUGAUUAUAUUUUUGUGUUUGACAAGACCUUCGGACUUGUGCCUACGUACCAACAUAAAAAUGAGGGAUCAAAAUCUCGUAGUUCUUGGUAAAAAUUUCAAAGUUGGUGAAUUGUUUUAACAAAAGGUUUAAUAAGAAAAAGGCACAAAAAGGCCCAAGAAUUUGAAUGGAAUUGUUAGUUCUUUUGGUAUUUUGAAAUUUUAAGUCAAUAUGAUUAAGUUUAUUUACAAAUUUGUUUUAAGAAAGAAGUUUAAAAAUUCAAUGGCAUAAGGCCAAAGUUUCUAAUCAUUAAAACAAAGUCUAAGUUUGAAAUUACAAGCAAAUAAGGUUUUUGAAAAGAGAGAGAGAGAGAGAGAGAGAGAGAGAGAGAGAGAGAGAUUUAAAUUUAAGAAGUGGGAGGAGAUGAAGAGGAUAUCCUAAGCACAAAUUUAAAAGUUAAGAGUUGAAAAGAUCUGACCAAUGGGAUGCAAUCCAACAGACAAGAAUGUCAUAUAGAAACCCAUUUUCCUUUGGACUUUGAUCAAGCAAUGAGCAAUAUCCAGACAUCAUGAAGAUCAAGGCAUCAAAUAAAGAUAUCCAUAUCCAAGCAAGCAAUCCCAAAAGCUAGGAGACUUCUUUAUCUUCUCAUGUAUCAGAUGAAAUAUUCCUUGAUUAACUCAGAGCAAAGCAUCAGACACAAGACCAAAAUAACAAUUAAGCACAAAGGUAGAGUAGCAGAUGAAUUCAAACAAGAUCCAAGGCUUGCAUCAUAUGAAGGCUCGGUUCACAAUAGCUUGGUCUCAAAAUGUUGGCAUUGGCCAAGUCCUUUUGCACAUGUAAUGCUGCCUAAUUCUAAGUCCAAGAGCUCAGAUCAAGAUCAAUAGUCCACCCGAUGUUUUUUAGGAUUUUUGUUGUUAUUAGGUGUUUUAAGGUCCUAAGACCACAAACAAAGUCAAAACACAUAAACAAAUAAAUAUAAUCACAAGAUAUGGCUCAAAUGAGCAAAGUGAAAAUGACAUAAACAUAAACAAGUUAAAUGAAAUGUAAAUGGCAAUGAAUGAUAAAUGACUGAAAUUUAAAUUGCAUAAAGCAAAUGACUUGAAAGUAAAGCAAUAUUAACAAGAAUUAGUCAAAUGUUAGUCAAAAGCUAGUCAAGUGUUAGUGGUGAUUUUUAAUUGAUUAAGUCAUUCUUUGGAGAACAUUCAACCAUUCAUUCACAAGUAUGAAUCCUUAAACCAAGACAUCUUCUAUGAGAAGGGCUCCAACUUGGAUAAUUCAACAAGUAUGCCACUAGCUCUCAUGAAAGGAAAAAAGGUCAAGUCUCCACACAAUGCCAUGAAGAAUGAGAGACUUACAAUCUCACUUACUAGAAUGAUAUGUCUUUAGGGUCAAAUUUAGCUCUAUGUUAAGCAAUCGUAAUUGGACUUAUGUAGAAGUCACAACUAUCUGAGGUCGGGCAAUAAAAAUUUAGGUGUUAAUGCAUGUUAUAGGUUUGGUAUGAAGAACCAAACUCCUAAAACAUACCACACACUAAAAGAAAAGAUCAAGAGAAAGGGACAUAUCUCAGUCAUACUUGUAUUGGUUCAUCUGACACAAGGUCAUUGAUGAACCAAUUAGGCUUAAGAUAUUAGAGAUUUCAUUGUUCAAAUGAGGGAAUGGGAAAGAAUAGGGAUGAAGAUGAAGAGGGAGGGGAAAAUAGAAACACAAAUUGACCAAGGGAGGAUUUUCAUUAAAUCAAAACCAUUCAUUCAUUUUGGAAGAUGAAAUGUACAUUUCAUCAAUCCCCUAAAUCCAAUGGUUUUGAUCCAACCAAAGUUAAAUCAACCUUGACCAAGGCCCAAACAGAAAGUUAAACAUCAUAGGACCAUAAAAAUGGCUCAACAAUAUUUUUAAACAUUUAAUCAAUUAAAAAUCCAAUUAAAAGUGAAUUAAAAUACAUUUUAAUUUGGUCAAAACCUAAAAUCCCUACAAAACACCAAAUAAAUGUCCAAGGGAUUUAUCCUAGGUCAAACAAGGUCAAAGGUGUAAGAAUAAAAAUUGUUCUACAACAGAUUCCUUGAUUUUGAUGAUAACAAAGGAUGAAACCAAAAAUGGCACCCUAACGAAAAGUUUCUAAGUGUGCAGGAUUCUAAAGAAAGAAGGAAGAAAUCUGAAUGAUGUAUCAGAUACAAAACAAGAUCAGAUACAAAUAUCAAAUGAUCAGAAGCAUCUGAAGUGGAAACAAUGUCAAGAAGUUUAACUCUGAGCAAACAUCAAAGUAUCAGAAGCAUUGGACAAGUAGUAAGCUCUAGAAGUUUUGACUCUGAACAAAGUUUUGUCUAACCUCAGAAGCUCUUGGCACUAUCUGAAGAAUCCAUCAGAACUCACAAGAGAUUAAACAUCAGAAGCAAGAUUCCAAGAUUCUCCAGAUACACAAAUACUCUGAGCAUGGAAUUGCUAAUCAUGAAAGAGUACAUUUAAGUCAAGAAAAGAUUUGCAAAUGGAUUUCUAAUUGAGAAAGAGACGUUAAUCUCCAAUCUCAAUAAAAAUACUACUUGUGGUAAGUAGUCAUUUCAAGAAGAAAAAGUCAUCCUGCAGAAGCUAUUAUGUGAUGGCGUAACUUCAUCUCAAUAUCCCAGUUUCAACUACUACUUCAACGAAUAUAUAAAUGGCUGCAAAUCAACUUGAACAAUUAGCAAGCCAACAAGCCAAAAUUAUACUGAAACACCAAGUCAAGAAAAACACUCUUCUCUCUAAGAUCUUCACGAAGCUUUUGCUUAUAACGUGAAAACUCUUGUUCUUAACACUAGUAAUAUUUGCUUUCUUAGAAGCACUCUAGAUUACAUAAAUCUCAUUUAUUGUUUGUUGAUUUCCUCAAGUGACUUAGUGUAGUCUGUAACUUGAAGGACUAAGGAUUUUCUCUUAGGCGUUGUUUGUAAUCUUUCAAGAUUAGUGGAUUAAGUCCUUGUUGAAGGCGAAAAUCACCUUGGCCGGGUGGACUGGAGGUAGCUUUGUGUUAUAAGCGAACCAGUAUAAAAUCCUUGUGUGUUUUUCAUUUGAAAAGCGCUUUUUUUCCAAAACAAUUCAAACCCCCCUUUUUGUUUUUCUCACUUCAAUUGGUAUCAGAGCUCCGCUCUGUUAUUAUUUCUAAUCAAACACUUAACCGUGUAGAGAGAUCCAGUACGAGAAAAACAAUGUCCACUCAAAUGAAAGAGAUUCUUACAAUGCCAAGCCUUCCUGUUUUUGAUGGAGAGAAAUUUGACUACUGGAAAGAUAGAAUCGAAAGUUUCUUUCUGGCUUAUGAUGCUGACCUCUGGGACAUUGUCACAGAUGGAUACACACCUCCAGUCUUAAAUGGAGCUGAAGUCCCAGAAGUAAGUGUCAGAAGAUCAGAAAACGUGUUCUCAAAAUCACACAAGGCCAGAACAAUACUUCUAAAUGCUAUAUCAUACAACGAUAUGAAAAGAUCACCAACAGAGAGACAGCGAAAGAUAUCUUGACUCUCUGAAGAUGACCCAUGAAGGAAACUCCCAAGUCAAGGAGACGAAGGCAUCUGGCGCUAUCCAAAUAUGAAGCUUUCAAAAUGAAGAGUGAUGAAGCUAUAGAAGCUAUGUUUCCAGAUUUCAAACUCUUAUUGUAGGUCUUAAAGUGCUAGACAAAGGAUACACAACUGCAGAUCAUGUUAGAGAGAUAGUCAGAAGUCUGCCAAAGAAAUGGAGACACUAUGGUUACUGCUCUGAAGCUGUCAAAGGAUCUGAACAAUAUCAGCCUUGAAGAACUUGUUAGUUCUCUCAGAAGCCAUGAGAUAGAAAGAGGAGGAUGAGCCUCAGAAAAAGAACAAGUCCGUAGCGCUAAAGUCCAGAUCUGAAAGACGGAAACCUGACAGAACCAAAGCUCUCCAGGCAGAAACUGAAGAUACUGACGACUCUGAACCUGAAGACUCUGAUGAUGAAGAAGAGUUGUCCAUUGUUCUAACCGAAGGUUAAGCAACUCUGGAAAAAGAGGAACAACAACUUCAGAGACCAAGACCAGAGGGGAUCGAUCAGAGUCAACUUCAAAGGUAAAGCUAACAAAGAUAUUACCUGUUAUGAAUGUAAAGAAACAGGUCAUUACAGAAAUGAAUGCCCAAGUUGAAGAAAGACAACCCUAGAAAGAAAGCUUCAAGAAAAACACUUGCAGAACAAAGAAAGGACUGAUGGCUACCUGGGAUGAUAGUGAAUCUGGAUCAUCAGAAUCUGACUCUGAUGAACAGGCCAACGUAGCACUUAUGGCUACCACAUCAGGCAGCUCAGAUGAAGAAUCUGAAGAGGUAUUUUCUGAACUUUCUCGAUCUGACUUAGAAUCAUGUUUGUCAGAAACUCUUACCUCUUACCAGAAAUUAAAACAAAAGUUUAAAAAUAUUAAAGGCUGUCUUAAAGCAAAAUUUGAAGAGUGUAGUGAACUUGAGAUAACAAUUCUAUCACGAAGAGAUAAUCAAUCUUUAAUGUUAGAAAGAGAUGAAGCAAAAACAAAAAGCUCAGAAUUAGAAGAGCGUUGUCUCAGCACCACAAACUUCAAAUAAAAUUAUUUUAAAUAUGAAAGAAACCUUUCAAGAAUUUCUGAAGAAUGGGAUAUAUAGAGAUUAUGGCAUCCAUGAUUUAUGGAGUAAGUCAGAACAAUAAAAGGGGAAUUGGGUAUGAUCCUAAGGAAGAUAAAACUUCUACAAGUGAUCAAAUUAAAUCUCCUUUUUCAUAUCACUACACACACACACAGAACAACAAAUUAAAAAUGCUAGAAGACCAAAGUUAUAAGAAACUCUGGGAAAACUAAUCUAAAAGGACCCAAGAGAUUCUGGGUACCGAAAGAUAAGAUUAUCUAUGUUUGCAGAUAUCUAUGCAGCAAAGUUCAGACACAGUCAUGGUACCUGGACUCUGGAUGCUCGCGACACAUGACGGGAAGAAAGUCUAUGUUCCAAAGUCUGGAACUUAAGACGCUGGAUUUGUAGGUUUCGGAGGAGAUCAGAAAGGAAGGAUCAUGAGGUCCGGAACUAUUGGUAAUGGUUAUCUUCUCUAUAUCUGAUGUUCUUUAUGUAGAAGAUUAAUGCAUAACUUGUUAUCCAUAAGUCAAUUAAGUGAUAACGGUUAUGAUGUAAUCUUCAAUCAAAAAACAUGUAAAGCCAUUAAUCGAACGAUGGUUGUCCUUUUCACAGGCAAGAGGAAAACAACAUUUACAAAAUAAAUCUUUGAUUUAAAGAUCAAAAAUGUUAAAUGUCUAAUGUCAGUUCACGAAGAGCAAUGGGUAUGGCAUAGACGCUUGGGCCACAUUAGCAUGAGGAAACUUUCUCAGCUAACUAAACUCGAGUUAGUCAGAGCCUACCUAAACUGAAGUUUUCUUCAGAUGCUCUGUGUGAAGCUUGUAGAAAGGAAAAUUUUCAAAAACAUCUUUUAAAAGAAAAAUGUUGUUUCUACUCUAAGCCUCUGGAAAUUCUUCACAUUGACUAUUUGGUCCGGUGUGAAAACAAGAUCAGUUAAUGGAAAGAAGUAUGGACUAGUCAUUGUUGAUGAUUACAGUCGCUGGACAUGGGUAAAAUUCUAAAGCACAAGAGUGAGUCUCACUCUGUAUUACCAGUUUCUGUUCAGAAGUGCAAAAAGAAUUUGACUCUAAAUUGUAGAGUCAGAAGUGAUCAUGGUGGAGAAUUUGAAAACAAGAUUUUAGAAGAUUAUUUGAUUCUAAUGGAAUAUCCGAUGAUUUCCCCUGCCCUAGAACUCCACAAAAAAUGGAGUUGUAGGAGGAAGAAAGGCACUCAAGAGAUGGCCAGAACCAUGAUCAAUGAAACAUGUAGCAAAGCACUUCUUGGGCAGAAGCUGUAAAACAGCGUGUUAUAUUCAGAAUAGAAUCUCUAUAAGACCUAUUCUGGAAAAGACUCCCUUAUGAACUGUGCUAAAGGAAGAAAACCAAACAUUUCAUAUUUUCAUCCUUUUGGAGUGUCUUGUUUUAUCUUAAAUACUAAAGAACAUCUGAACAGUUUGAUUCCAAAGCACAGAAAGUAUUAUGUUAGGAUACUCAGAACGCUCUAAAGGCUAUAGAGUAUACAACAACCAAAAUUGUGGAAGAAUCAAUUCAUGUCAGAUUUGAUGAUAACUUGACCCCUGAAAAGUCAAAGCUAGUUGAAAAGUUUGCAGAUUUGGAAAUCACUCUUGUAGAAUUGAUAAAACUCCAGAAGCAACUGUACUCAAAGCUCUGAAGAAAUUAAAUCUCCAGAAAUCCCAAAGAAAGUCAAAAGUCGUAUCAAUGUAUCUGAAGAUUUGAUUCUGGGAAACCAAGGACGAAACCUGUAGAACAGAUCUACUCUUCAGAACCUCUGAAGAUAUUCCUCUGGGACUAGUGUCUCUGAUAGAGCCUAGUCCUUGUGAUGAAGCAUUCAGGAUAACGACUGGUGGCCAGCUAUGCAAGAAGAAUUGGUCAAUUCUCAAAGAAUGAUGGUCUGGGAUCUCGUUCCUAAACCCAGAGGCACUCACGUCAUUGGAACAGAUGGGUUUUCAGAAACAAGCUGAACGAGAAAGGAGAAAUUGUCAGAAACAAAGCUCGACUGGUCGUCAAGGUUACAGUCAACAAGAGGUAUUGACUAUAAUGAAACUUUGCUCCAGUCGCGAGGUUAGAAUCUAUUCGUCUUCUUGUAUCUUUUGCUAUAAUAUCUAUUAAAUUAUAUCAAAUGGAUGUCAAGAGUGCAUUUCUUAAUGUUAUAUUUCAGAAGAAGUGUAUGUCAAUCAACUCCAGGUUUUGAAAAUCAAACUUUCCAGAACAUGUUUUUAUACUUAAGAAAUCCUUAUGGACGUUAAACAAGCUCCCAGAGUGGUAUGAACGGAUUAAGCAAUUUUCUAUCUGGAACAAAAUUUUAUCAGAGGGAAGUUUGAUUUACACUCUUCUGUAAAUAAGCUUAAUAAUGAUCUCAUGAUUGCCAAAUUUAUGUUGAUGAUAUUAUUUUUGGUUACUGCUAAUAUCUUGUUGCCAAGAAUUUUCUAAUUAAUGCAGCCAGAAUUUUGAAUGAGUUUUAAUGGCAAGAAUUGAAAGUUCUUUCUGGUAAUGUCAAGAUUUAAUCGAAACUCCAGCAGUCACGUUACGUUCAUAAGCAAGUACAUAAAGACGUUCUAAAGAAGUUUGACAUGACUGAAUGCAAUCUGCAAAAACUCCCAGUGACAACUUGCAUUCUGGAGAAGAAAGGUAAGCAACAAGGGUUUGUCAGUAAGCUCUUAUCGAGUGUAUGAUUAGGCUCUCCCUCUAUCUGACUGCUACUCGUCCUGAUAUUCUCUUUGUGUGUCUUUGUGCCAGAUUCAACAGAUCCUAGAGAAUCUUCAUUUAACAGCAGUUAAAAGAUUCUUAAGUAUCUGAAAGGAACUCCUAACUGGGCCUCUGAUGUGUGAGUAAAACCUAGAGUUAUAGACCUCGGGUUAUUGUGAUGCAGAUUAAUGCAGAGAUAGAAAUAGAAGAAAAAGCACAUCUGGAAUUGUGCCUCGUUCUGGAACAAUCUAAUCUCCUGGCGUAUGCAAAAGACAGUCAACUAUUGCUCUACAAUCACUGGCAGAAGCAGAAUAACAGUCUCCAGCAUCACUGUGCCAAAACUCAGAUGCUCUGGGAUGAAGCUCCAGCUAGACAGAAUCUACAAAAUCUUUGAGAUAACAUUCCUAUCUUUGUGAUUGAAUAUGCUGCUAUUUUAAGUAGAAUCCAUUCAACAUUCCAGAGCAAACACAUAGAAAUAAAAACAUCAUUUAUCAGAACUAUUGUUCAGAAAGGGAUAGAAACAUUGAAAUUCAUUGAUACUGAACAUCAAUGGGCGAUAUCUUUACUAAGCCUCUAGCUGAAGAUAGAUUUCUUUUAUUUAAGAACAUCUGAACAUUAAAGAAUUGUCCUGAUGAAGUAUGGCUCUGGGAAAUGUAAUGAAUGUGAACUCUGAUGUAACAAAAUGUACUUUCUGGCCUACUACUCUGAAUACUUCUACACAAGUUAAGAAGAUAUCUGAGUAGAAAUCUUCAGGAUAGAAACCAAUCCUUUGGUAUUCGAUGAAGAUCAGAUACAUACAAGUGGAGCACCAACGUUAACCUCGAUUUAGACAGCUGUCAAAAGAAAUCAAAGGUCAGAACGUUUGAAAUCUCCUAGAGCAGUGUGCGUACUGUUGGGAUUAGACAUUCAUUAAUUAGCUGUAAUCAUUUCUCCCCCCAAGCGUGCUAUUGUGAUUUUUGUGCUAACGCUGGAAUGUGUGUCGUUUUGCAUGUUUUUUACUUAUAGUAUAUAAACACUUUUCUCACAUUUCACACACUUAUCACUCUCACUCACUCUAAAACCCUAAACCCUUCUCUCAAGCAUUCUCUGCAAGUUCCUCAAUCUUCAUCUUCUUCUUCACCAUGGACGCUCAACAACAAGAAGUCUUUAACUUUUCACAACAAAUGGAAUCAACUUCUACUGCUCAAACCUCAAACACUCAAACUCCAACGGUUACAGACGUCACCGUCACUCCUGUUUACAAAGAACCCCACGUUCUUGAUCGUGAACGCCAUAUCAACCUUUCAACUCCUUUUGAAGGUUUGGAUGUGUUGUGCGAAUCGCUUGUUGAUUUCGAAAACUUGAAGAGGAAUGGCGUUGAUCUAACUGGAGAACUUCGUCAACAAGGGUAGGAAAACUAUUUCCAAAGACUUUAUGGUCCUAUUUACCCACUUCUUGUCAAGGAGUUCUGGAGACAUGCUGAUGCAGAUGACAACUUCAUCGUCUCAUAUGUUCUGGGGGUGAAGAUUGUUAUUACUGAAGGGUCUAUUGCCUCCUUGUUGAACAUGGAGCGAAGUGGAGGAAAAAGGAUUUACAACAUCCCUCCUAGGUCAAAGCGCAUUACAGAUGUGAUAAACCCAACAAUCUUCAAACCCAACGUUGAAGGAAACCCCUCUAAGAACAAGGAGCUGCACCAGAACCUCAGAGUGUGGCUGAAGAUUAUUCUGGGAACAAUUCACCAUCGUCCAGCCUCUAACUCUUCUGAUUACAUCAAUGCAGACCAGAAAUGCAUUCUGUACUGUAUUCAGAAGGGUGUGAAGAUCUGCCUCCCUGCUCUCCUCUUCAGAUAUCUGAGAGAUUCGGUCAGAGAAACCAGAAACAAUAUGAAGCCCAGAUCCUACAUUCCUCUGGGAAGAUUGCUAUCUGACGUCUUCAUUGAGCAUGGACUGGUAGACGAGCUGGAAAAGACCAAGCUGAUGGAUGAUCUGGCAAUAGAUGUGGGGAAGCCUCUAAAUGCCAGAAACCUCAAGAGUAUGGGGAUAAUCAAGAAAAUUCAAGUUAGGCCAACUCUGGAUACAUCCUGGGAUAGCUUGAAAGAUCAGAGGAAGANGAAGCAAUCUUCGCUCCUCUAAUAUUCUACUGUAAGUCUGUUCCUCCUGUUACCUCAUAUCUCUGAUGGCUUCUUCUAACCCUCUCUCUUCAACAACCUAAUUUAUACACUCUGAUAUUUCACCCUCAAUCACCAGAACCUCCUAACCUACACCAGUUCUAAAUAUAGCCCGUACAUUCAUACCUCCCUCUGAACCUAAAAAACCCACCAAAGCACUUCAUCUUCAUCAUCCUCAGCACCAGAAUCACCCCCAUAUGUUUCCCCUCUCAUCUGACCCAGAAUUUUCUGAUCCUGAUUCCCCAACAUAGCCACCAAUUUAUGCUCAUAAGACUUGCUUCAACAACAACACAAACACAAUCUGAAGCAACUUCACCUCCACCACAACAAACAACCACCAUACCUUCUGAAAACCAACCUCUGACCAUCCCACUUCUGAUAUCAACCCACCAAACAUCUCCGCUGAACCAGAACCAGAAUCUGAACCUUUAGAUUUAAACCCUCUUUAUGCUUCAACCCAAACAUCUGAACUUCAACCAGAAGCAGAAUUCUGAACCUCAACCUGAGUCAGAAUCUGCACCUCAAAACCUUAAAUCUCAGCCCUCCAAACUCUCCACCUCAUACCUCUGAACCAGAACCUGAACCUGAACUUUCUAAGCCUACCCUUAAGGAAGCCAUCUUGAUGAUUGCGAGGCUUCGGUAUCAAAGUCGAUUCUCUGGUCACUAACUCUGAAAUCAGUGAUGAUCCUAAAUCUGUAAGGACACACUGGACAGAGUCAUUGGUGGAUGAAUUUAGGCUUUAGACUGAGGGCAUCUCUGAAAAGUCAGAAAUGGCUACAUCAGAGAUGCUGAGGCAAGACUCCAGGAGAGACUCGCCAGAGAAGCUGAAGCCAGAAGGCUUGAGGAAGAGAGAUUGUCAGAGAAGCAGAAGAAGCAAGAAGGAUAGAAGAAAAAGACUUGCUAAGGAAGCUGAAACCUAAGGCAAAAGGAAACUGAAAGCAAAAGGCUCUGGCAGAUGCAGAAGCUCAGCUGCUGCUGAAGCUUGAUGCUCAGAAGGCUCUGACUCUGGGGAGUCUCUUCUGUGAUUCCUACGGUUCUUCAGACUCUGAAAGAACUCAAGCAAGAUCAGAAUGAACUCCGGGCAGAAUGGACAAGCAAGAUACUGUCAACGAAAACAUCCAGGAGCAUGCUUGCAAUGUUGCUUCAGAGAAUGCCUCGCGCUCCGAACCUUAGGCACUUAGGAUUUAUUUUUUUUGGCUGCCUGUUGUCUUGUUUUUGCUAUCUCUCUGACUCUGAUGUUUUUCUUGUUGCCUUUUGUCUUCUAUCUAUGGAUUCCAGUUUUUCUCUUUUGAUUUAUUUUCUCUUUACUUAUUUCUACUAUGUCUUUUUGAUUCUGACAAAAAGGGGGAGAAGUAAUUAUUAGCCUCUGAUGAAAAUAUUGUCUAAAACCUUAAGCAUUCUGCAACAUUUUUUUAUAAACAAAAAUUAUCUACUAACUUGCACUUAAGAAAUUGCAGGAAAGUUUCAGAAACUCUGUACUUAAGAAACUCUGGUAAGAACUUCUGAACUCCUAGCAUUAUCUCAGGGGGAGCUUCUAUCUAUCUGAUCUGAUAUUUUAUAUUGUUUCAUUGCUAUUAAGGUUGUUUUUGUAUCAUCAAAAGGGGGAGAUUGUAAGAACAAAAAUUGUUCUACAACAGAUCUUGAUUUUGGAUGAUAACAAAGGAUGAAACCAAAAAUGCACCCUAACGAAAAGUUUCUAAGUGUGCAGGAUUCUAAGAAAAGAAGGAAGAAAUCUGAUGAUGUCAUCAAUACAAAACAAGAUCAGAUACAAAAUAUCAAAUGAUCAGAAGCAUCUGAAGUGAAACAAUGUCAAGAAGUUCUAACUCUGAGCAAAACAUCAAAGUAUCAGAAGCAUUUGGACAAGUAGUAAGCUCUAGAAGUUUUGACUCUGAACAAAGUUUUGUCUAACCUCAGAAGCUCUUGUGCAACUAUCUGAAGAAUCAUCAGAACUCACAAGAGAUUAAACAUAGAGCAAGUUCCAAGAUUCUCCAGAUACACAAAUACUCUGAGCAUGGAUUGUAAUCAUGAAAGAGUAACGUUUAAGUCAAGAAAGUUUGCAAAUGGAUUUCUAAUUGAGAAAGAGACGUUAAUCUCCAAUCUCAAAUAAAAAAUACUACUUGUGUAAGUAGUUCAUUUCAAGAAGAAAAAGUUCAUCUGCAGAAGCUAUUUAUGUGAUGGCGUAACUUCAUUCAAUAUCCACCAGUUUCAACUACUACUUUCAACGAAUAUAUAAAUAGGCUGCAAAUCACCUUGAACAAUUAGCAAGCAACAAGCCAAAAUUAUACUGAAACACCAGUCAAGAAAACACUCUUCUCUCUAAGAUCUUCAUGAAGCUUUUGUUAUAACGUGAAAAACUCUUGUUCUUAACACUGUAAUAUUUGCUUUCUUAGAAGCACUCUAGAUUACAUAAACUUUCAUUUAUUGUUUGUUGAUUUCCUCAAGUGACUAGUGUAGUCUGUAAACUUGAGAGGAUAAGAGAUUUUUUCUCUUAGGCGUUGUUUGUAAUCUUUCAAGUUAGUGGGAUUAAGUCCUUGUUGAAGGCGAAAUCACCUUGGCCGGGUGGACUGAAGUAGCUUUGUGUUAUAAGCGAACCAGUAUAAAAUCCUUGUGUGUUUUUUCAUUUUGAAAAGCGCUUAUUUUUCCAAACAAUUCAAACCCCCCUUUCUUGUUUUUCUCACCUUCAAAAGGACCUUAGACAAAAAAAUUCACUAUUUAAAAAGUCAGAAGUAUUUUUAAUUAAUUAAAAUAGCAUAUGCACAAAAACAUUUAAUUCAUGAAAAAUAUCAAAAUUAAUCCAAAAAAUAAUUUUAAUUCAGAAUAUGGAAGAGAAAAAUAUUUAAAGAUUUUUUGUGAAAGUCCCAUAUUUUUUGGAUAAAAAUGAAAUUUAUAUGAAUUAAAUAAAAUAAAGUCAUUAAAUAAAAAUUCAGAAAUUAAAAAGAAAUUGGAAAAAACGAGGGCCAUCAGAUCUCCCUCAUUAAUUGAGGUGGCAUAUCUGAAGGCAACACGCGCGCUAUCCUUGGUGGACUCAAGUCAACGUAAUGUAUGCGUGGUAAUUCAAACCAAAUGCUAGGAUUGGAUCAUUGGACCAGGAUCAGAUGGAUGUGAAGUUGCCAACACACCACCGGAGCUAGGGCUCUGAUCUUCUUCUUUGUUGGACCUCACCGAACUGGUCAACCAUCAACCACCACAAAAAUGAAAAACAAGGACAUGGAUUUAAAGGAAAAAUGCUCAGGAGCUCGAAUCUGGCCUCAAUUUUCUUCAAUUCCAAGUAUAUAAAAAGAUACAGGGAUUUGAAUUUUGAGGAUCAUGAACUGAGUUGCUUCGAUUUGACCUCAAAGCAACUCAAUCUUGUUGCCUACAUUGGUAGGACUUCAGCCAACCAAAAAAAGUUGCUUCGAUUUGACCUCAAAGCAACUCAAUCUUGUUGCCUACAUUGGUAGGACUUCAGCCAACCAAAAAUCAAAGAGAAUGGUGAAGAAUUGAGAGAGAAUCGAAGAGAUGAAGUUUCUGAAAAAUCACCUUUGAGGGAGCUUGAAUCUUGCUUGAUAUUGCUUCCAAUUGGCCUUGGGUUGACUUCAGAUGCUUGCAGGAAGUGAAUUGAAUCAAGGAAGGGCUUGGAUUCUUGGAGUUUCAACUUCAAAACUGAAGUGAAAUUGAAA
RNAcentral lists this long non-coding RNA (53254 nucleotides) under Lathyrus oleraceus (garden pea). RNAcentral's name for it is "Pisum sativum (pea) long non-coding RNA (PSAT_LNC022444)". Lineage: Eukaryota; Viridiplantae; Streptophyta; Magnoliopsida; Fabales; Fabaceae. The record is from RNAcentral.